AAAUGAAAAAGUUAUUGAUAUUUUAAAUGUAAAGCUUUCUUUAUAAUAAUGAAUAAAUCAGAAUUAAAAAGUAAUUAUUAUAUCUUAACAUUGCUUUUUUGUUUUUAAGAAAAAAAAUAAUUAAAACAACUUUACACUUGUUCCAUGAUUAAAUUGAAUCCAUUAAUGGGUGCUCUAUUAUGAAACAUUAGAAGGACAUAGAUAAAAUAAACUACUCAAAAAGCUCUUAUCUGCCCAAAUAAUCAUCCUUUUCCUGAGCUGGAUCACAGUCUUCUUUUUUUUUUUUUUUAUAGAUUACAUAAUAUAAAAAUGAAUAUGAGAUUAUUGCAUUUGGUGGAAGAUCUUAACUAUAUAUUUUCUUUUUAAUCUGCAAAUCAUAAUUGCUUUACAUAGCUGGAAUUUACUAUUCUAAAAUUAGUUUAGAUUUUAAAAAAUUUUAUAAUCGUUGAAAAUUUUAUUUAUGAAAUUUUUUAAUUAUUGUAGGUUUAAUAUUUAAAUUUAAUAUUAAAUCUCACUGUUAUAAUUUUAUUAUAUUAUCUUAAAAUUUUUACAACCGUUUACGACAGUUAUUUUCAGUGAGAUGUACUGCUAGUAUUGUGUACCUUCACAGUUUGUUUAUCAUGGUGUUAUGGAUAUAAUUUGCAAAGUGAAUGGUUUCUAUUAAUGGUUAUCUACAUUCAGUUACCAUCUCAAAGACGGGAUUAUUUUUCACAGCAAUAGAAAUUUCUUGAAAUAUGUGAGAAACCAUAUUUAUUUUCUAUGGACACUGCAACUGAUGUUGCUCAGAGGUAUAAUACUAUAUUUAGACAUGCAAAAUGGAUCACAACAGUGGAUUAAUUGGCUAGUGUAAUCAUUUUGAUGUCUAAGUUAACAAAUGAAGUGAUAGAGAAUUAGUAAUGAAUAUCAGAGGAUUAAAAACACAUUUAGUUAUUAUCGUUUUCACACUCUUCAAAGAUUCAAUACGAAAAAAUCUAAAUUAUAACAAAUAAAGUUACCAUCGCUUCAUUUAAAACUUAUGAAAUGAGAAUUAUAUUUAAAAAAUAUGGUUAAUGAGAAAAUAAGUCAUGCUAUCUUCAACACAAGUAAAUACGCAAUAUAAUUUCAAAUCGCGUAAUACAUAUAUGACUGAAUUGCACUUAGAUCAAUUUUAUUAUUUUAGUCUUUUGUGGGGGUUUGUUUUAAAUUAAUUUGACAUACUUUAAAAGCUAAAUUUGCACGGCGAUAUUAGGAAGAUAAUUUCUCAAAGACAAUUUAAGAAAUAAUCUUUAAUGAAAUCUAGAUUUCACUAUUUCACUUGAUACCCUUUUUAUAUUGAAUUAUAUCUUCCUAUAUUAGAAUUAUAGUUUUGAGACUAUAAAAACACCCUUAAAGUGGUAGCUACAAAUUAUAAUUGAUUAAUCAAUAAGUUAAAGAAGUUGAUUUAUCUCUACAAUGAGAAUUUAUUUUUAGAACUUUGAUUCUUCUCCAUUAUUUAGCAACUUAUUAAAACUCAACUUUAUGGUGUUCUAAUAUGUAUGUUCUCUAUACUUAGUUAAUUUAUCAAAAAUUUCUCAUAGUAUUUUCUAGUUAGAUUACUUAAUUAUUUAUGUUACUAACCGUAUGGUUAGUUAGGGGUGUAAUAGAAUAACCUUUAGAAAAUAUCUUAGUUUCGUUCUUUGUCAAGUGUGUUCGAAAUUCUUGAUCAUGAGCUAAUCCUAAAUUUCACAUCAGUUAGUAUCAGAGCUUGGCAGUUGAUUAAUUCCUAUUUAUCUAUGUUUAUUUAAAUUAUUAUUUACUUUCAGUUUUAUUAUUUUAUUUUAGCUAUUGAAUCCAUUAUUCAUUUGUUUUAAAAAAAAGCAAAAAAAAAAAAAAAAAAGGAGAGAUAUCAAAGUUUUGUGUUUCAUUCACAAAAUUUCAAAUUGAGUCAAAGUUUUGUAUUUCAUUCGCAAAAUUUUAAAUUGAAUUCAAAGAUUUCAUGAAAUUUAUGGAGAAAAUCAUCUAGAAAGAGACAGAAUGAACCACCAAUAAUGAUAUAGAUCGAUUUAAAAAUAACAAAUAAGAUGAUUCUGAAUCUAAACAUUGUCAUAUAAAAAAAUACCAAGAAGAUGUGGUAGAAAGUACUUUGGUAGAUCAAUUUCAAAAAAUCCAAGUUGUUACUGCAAUUGUUAAAAAGUAUAAGCAAUAUGAAAAUGAUUUUCAAGACAUUGAAAUUAAGCAAAAUUUUGAUAUUGGCUCUAAUUAUGAUUAUUUUAUUCAAAAAAUUCACGAAGUUGAUAUUUCAAUUGCUUUUGACAUUCUUACACAAGAAAAUUUGUAUGGAGAUGAUUCUAUGUAUAUCAAUCCUUCUCUUGUCAUUCUUUUUUAGGAAAGAGGGAAUGAUGCCAGUACGGGAAUAACACGAUUUUUCAAUAAGUUGUGCAUUGAAAUUUUUGCACUUUUUAAAAAUUCAACGUGAAAAGCUCCAAAUAAUGACAAAUCAAUUUUUCAUCGCUUAUUUAAAAGUUUACAAGAUGAGAAUUAUAUUUGAGAAGUAUGGUUAAUGAGAAAACAAGCUACACACUCUAGUAGAGGAACAACACAAUUUCAUAUCGUAUAAUUCAUGUAUGGUCGAAUUGUAUUUAGAUCAAUUUUAUUAUUUUUGAUAUUUUAAUAUUUUAUGGGAUUUAUUCUAAAUUAAUUUGGUCUAUUUUAAAGGCAAAAUUCAUGCAGUCCUAUUAGGAAGAAAAUUUCUCCAAAAUAAUUUAGCAAAAUGAUAUUUAAUAUAAUUUAGAUUUAAUUAUUUCACUUGAUACCCUUCUUAUAUUGGAAUUAUAUAUUCUUAUACUAAAAUUAGUAUUUUGAGAUUAUAAAAAUGUCCUUAAAGUGACAGUCACAAAUUAUGAUUGAUUGAUCAAUAAGAUAAAGGAGUUGAUUUAUCUUCAUAAUGAGAAUUUAUUUUUAGAAUUUUGAUUCUUCUCCAUUGUUUAGCAACUUAUUAAUACUCAAUCUUGUGGUGUUCUAAUAUGAAUUCUCUUCAUACUUAAUUAACUUAUCUAAAAAUUUCUUGUAGUGUUCUCUAAUUGAAAUUGUUUAAUUAUCAAUAUUAUUAAUCACACUAGUUGGUUAGGAGCGUAGUAAAAUAACUUUUAUAAAAUAUUUUAGUCUCAUUCUUUGUAAGUGUAUGUUCGGAGUUCUUGAUCAUGAAUUGAAUAUGAGUUCUACAUCACUUGUCUGAAAUAGGAGUUUGAUGCUUCUUGAGAUAGGAUAGGAGUUGAAUAGGACUAGGAUGUCUCAUUGUUAUGAUUUAUGAAUAUAUCAUUACUUCAUAUAUCUAGCAUAUGAACUAUACCCCUUUUUCUUUUACUAGAAGUUAAUGGACUUCAUUAGAUAAGGUUUAAAGCCCAAAAGUAAAGAUAAAGAAAGAAUAGAAAAUAGCUGCCCAAAGGCCAGUACACAAUAGCCCAUAAGCACACCAACUAAACCUUAGCAGCAAGAGGCGACCCGUAUCUAGCAACCUGAAUCAAGCAAUUCCAUCUCGAUGUUGCCGCAACACCCAAAAGAGGAAGAGUCACAUGAGGAGUUGGUCCUAACCUUGAAGCACCGAUGAAUUGCUUAAAUGCUGCACAUCCAUCCAUGAAAUCAAAAGUCAGUUCACCCAAAAAAAAAAAAAAGAAGCAGGCUUAAGAAGAAUAGAGACAGAAUUGAGGUUUGAACCACCAUCUCUAAGAAAUAGAUCUCCAAGUGUUGUAUUUCUAGAUGCAUGCAACAUCAUGGCCAAACAGACAGAGAAGAGGUGGAGCUCUAGCCGCAGUGGCGGAGCCGGGAGCUCCCCGUUGGUAGGGCACCACCGGCUGCAACUGCACUGCUGCAAUUGCACUGUUGCGGCACCACCGGCUGCGCAGCUGCGGUACCUUCAUCUCCCUUCCAAACAUUUUUCGGUCGCCGGUACGGCACGUCCCUUGCCCUACCUUCCCUCCACCCUUGUCUAGCCGUCUCACUCUCUUUAAAUUAAUAUAAAGAUCUUAUAAUUCGAUAUAUUUUUCUCAUUUUCUUUUAAAAGAUUUAAUUAUAAUAACAUUAUUGGGAAGCAUAAAAUAAGGCAAAAACUUCCAACAUCCGGUGAACUGGAGCCACAACCCAAAACUGCAUGGUGCAAUUGCAGUCUUCCCCAACUUUCACGCUCUCCCUCUCCCUUCUCUCCUCCAUAAAAAAUCACUACUUCCACAACCACCAUUUUCAUUUUUGAACCACCAUUUUCAUGGAAGAAAGCAAACCUAGCAGCACUCCUCCGUCUUCUUCUCCAUCUUCUCUUAAACAAAAGCUUAAACUCAGAUACCCUUUUUUCUUAUCCUCUUCCUUUCGCAGAACCAAUCCCACUGAUUCCUCUUCACCUUCUGUCCCCGAUGCUUCCCAAUCUUCUAAACUCCUCCGCACGACCUCCGCCGGGAUUAAGUCCCGUGCCCACGAUAAGUGUAAGAACUUCAUUUCUCGUAUUGGCCGAAAUGGACAAGCACAACCACAAGAAGCACAAGGGCAUGGGUAUGGUCGCGGCCACCGCCGGCGUCACUCUGUCUCUGCAGAUUUCCGGUAUGAUGCUAUGAGCUACGCUUUGAAUUUUGAUGAAGGCAACGAUGAGAGCCCCGAAAAUGAUUUUCGCUUAAGAAGUUUCUCGUCCAGAUUGCCACAGUCUCCGAAGAGGGAGAUCGAGUGCAGUUGAAGUUAGGUUUUUUAUUAUUAUUUUUUUCUUAUCUGGGUUUGCCAUGAUUACGGUUGGUUAUUUCUGAAUACACACGCAUAUUUAUAUAAAUAUAUAUUCAUUCAUCCACCAAAUUUUCUUAUCAUAAAAUGAAAGAAAAAAAAGGGUAAUUAAUAAUGAACAUGCACACAAUUUAAAUCCUAUAUUAGAGGAAAAUGGAAUCCAGGACAAAGAUUUCUUUCUAUUUCAACACACUUCUUUAUAAUUUUUUUAAUAUUUCAUCCACAAAAGCCUUGUAUAUGUGUAUAAUCACUAAUUUUUCAAUUGAGUCCUUACAAUUUUGUUUAAUAAAUUGUGUCCUUAUAAUAAUCACUAAAUUUUCAAUUAAUAAUCAUGCAUAUCAGUAUAUGUGAAAGAAUUUUUUAUUUGUAAAUUUCAAAUUCACAUAUUUCAUACAUGAUAAAUAACUAAAAAAAUAAUAUUUAUGUACGCUCGUGUUUUACUUAUCUCAUCAUUUGAAAAUUGAGAGAUUUACUAUUUAGUAUCUAGGUAUUACCAUUAAAUUUAUUAAAACGUAUUUAUCUCUUCUCUUCGUUAAUGAAAUAGUUUUUUUAUUCUAUUUUUUUCUGUUAAAAAAAUAAGAGAAAAAAAUUUUAAAAUUCAAUUUACCCUCAAAUAAAUAUUUUAUUUAGUUUUUGGAUAUUAUCAUUAUUAACAAGUCAGUCUUGUAUAACAAAAAAAUAAAUUAUCCCUCUCUUUCACUUUUUUAAAGGAGGACAGAAUAAUUUGAUAUUUUUCUAUACUUUUAAUAGCAUAAAUAGAUAGGAAAACUAUUUUAUUGAUGGAUAAAAAAAUAAAAAAAUUUUAAUAAAUUUUUUAAAAUUAAAAAAUUAACUUAUUAAUAAUAAUAAAAAACUGACUUAUUAAUAAUAAUAAUAUUCAAAAACUAAAUAAUAAAUCUCCUAUAAAAAUUUUGCGAUGAACGGUUUUGCUUGCAUGGUAAAAAUUUGAUAUAAAUAGUCAAUGGCGAAAGAUUCAUUAGUGGAUAUAAAUGAAUGGAUAGUGAGGAGUGAAAUAGAAGAAUUCAUAGUUUUUAUGUGGAAGAAGCCCAUUUCUACAAAAGCCUUGAAAGAAAGAAAAAAGGCUUAACAUCUUAAUUUUCAUUCUAUUAUUUUCAUGACAUUGUAAUUUAAAUCAAAACGUGGUCUUGAUGAAAAUUCUAAAAUUUAAUUAAAUAAGAUAUUUUAAUUCUUAACACUUUAUAUUUUUAUUCAUAGAAUUAUAAAAAUAGAUCACAGUUAAUGGGACCUCAGUCUAAUUAUAGUAAAGGAGAUAAAGUAUCUAGGUUGAAGCUGUAAGGAUCAAGAGAUCUAAGUAAAGUUUUACCACACAAAUUUCAUCAUCAAUUUUUUUAAUAUUUAUUUAUAGAUGAUCAAUGCCUUUUAACAACUUUGAUUUUGUAGUUUCCAUUUUUAAAUAAAAAAGAAAGUUGUUUAAGAAUUGCAGUUGGCAUUGUUAAAUAAACUUUCAUGAGUUUAUCUAUUUAAUUGAGAACCUUAUGGAUAGGUAAGCAUGUUUUAAUAAUGUUAGGAAUGAGUAUUCAGUCUGAAUCCAAUCGAAUAAAUUAAAAAUAAAAUUUUAAUAUUUAUGAAAAUUAAACUGAAUCGAUUUUGGAUAGAAAUCGAUAUGAAUCGAUUUAAUUUAAUUCAGUUCUAUUUGAUCAGUUGAACUUUUUAAUGUAACCUCUUAUUUUUUAUACUUUAUUUUUAAUAUUUUAAAAUUUAAUUGAAAUAUUUCAACUUUGGUUUAAUCUCUAUAUUAUAAAAAAUUAGUUGAAUUUAUUUUUUUAUAUUUUUUCUAAUAAAAAUUAAAUCAAAUUAAAAUUUUUAAAAUUAAAACAUAAUCAAAUUGAUAUAUAUAAAAAAUCAAAUUAAAAUUUUAAAUUAAUUCAACUUGAUUUUUUAUCAAUUUAAAUAGAAUAAUUCCCACCUUAAAUAAUGCUGCCAAUGUAUAAAACUAAAAAUUUAUGACAAUGAUAAAAAAAAAAUUAUAUAAUUUACUCGGUUAGUUUUAUUUAAAAAUAUUUUUUAUGAAAAAUAUUUUCAUGAAAAAGGAUAUUUUAAUAGAAUAAUUUAUUUUUUAUUAUUUAAUUUUAAGUUAAAAAAUAAAAUAUAUUAAUAAAUUUAUAUAUACAUAUACUAAUAAAAAUUUUAAGGUGCAUAAAAUGAUUUUUUUAGAAUAAAUUAUUUAAUUUUUAUUUUAAUUUAAAAAAAAUUUGUUAAUUAAUUUUUUUAAAUACCAUAAUUAAUUUAUUAAUUGUAAUAAAAAAAAUCUUAAUAAAAAAAUAAAAGUUACUAUAUUUUAUGAAUAAUAAAAAAAUCUUAAUGUAUUAAUUGUAAUAAAUAAUUAUGACAUCAUGAAAUGCACAAUUAAUUUUAGAUAUAAAUUAAAAGAUGAUAAUCUAAGUUUUUGUUUGGACAUUCCUUUUAAAGAUUUUAAAAUCCUAAACUCUUUAAAACAAAUGUUAAUGAAAUGUAAGCACAUUUAAACCAUUAUUACUUUUAUAAAAAUUAAAAAACAAAUAUUAACAUAAGAAAAAUAUUAUAAACGUUAUCUAAAAAAUUAGAAAUUAAAAAAAAAAACUUUUCACAAUUCAUUAAUUUAAUGUACAAACAAAAAUAUUUUAUUACAUGUUAUCCUCCAUGUUAUAACAUAAAUUAUUAAUUUAUAUAUAUGGUAAUCAAUUCAACUUAACUUUUAAUUUUCAUACUGCAAUUUUUUUUUAUUUUAUCGAGAUUUUUAAAAAAAUUAAUAUUACAUAAUAAUAGACUAAAAACUCAUGGGUGCUAACACUAAAAAAUAAAGCUAUUGUGAUAAAAAUAAAAUAUAAGACUAUUGUGAUAAGAAUUUGAUCAGGUCGCACUCGAUUUCAUCGAGAUAAAAGAAUCCUUGAAUGCUUGAGAUGAACUCUUCGUCAAGACUCAUCUCCUCAACUACAGAAGAUCUCGACACUAGAACAUCUAGCUCUCCGUUAAAAAAUCACUCUCCCCUGAAAAAAUUGAAUUUUCACAUAAAGCUAUCUUUAGUAGACACAAUACAGCAAAUCCCUAUCAUGCCUGCAAUAAGAAGAUCCCCAACUAAUUAGUCGGUGAGAUCCCUUAUCAAUCAGCCAGUCACAUCAUUAAUGAAUUUAUAUAAAAUAUUAUAAUUAACUCUCUUUUUAUAGUAUAAAAGUUAGUGAUAAGAGAGAUAAAUAUAGGCUAUUCUGACAAUUACAGUAUAUUCGUUCUAUAUUUCAGUUUAUUAACUUGAGCGGUGGAAUAACUGCUGUAAACACACCACCUCAUAUUCUCUUUUUUGCGGAUUGCCUAAUCAUAGUACAGUUUCGUUUUAACCAGAUACCGACCAUCUUAUUCUCUCUCGUUAGUCAAUUAUAGCACAAUUUCAUUCAAGCCGCAUAAGAGUUAGUUCGUAUUUCUAGAUUUUUUUUUAUCUACUCACUUAUAUCGAUUUCAAAUAUAAAUAUACCUUUAUUAAAAAUUAUUUGAACUUAAUAUAUAUUUUAAAUAUUGUAGAUGUAUAAUAUUUUUUUUUUCUAUUCAACGUUACUAUUAUUAAUUUUUUAGAAUAAUAUUUAAUAAUAAAUACAAAAUUUUGAUAUUUAAAAUGAUGAAAACGAUCAUAUAUAAUGAAUGAAUUUCAAAUUAUUCAUAUUUUUAGUGUGACAUUUUAUUUUAUUGAUUUUUAUUAUUAUUUUGUGAAUAUUAUCAUAACAAUAGUAGAUAAAGUUUAAUUCAAACAAUAAAAAUAAACUUAAAGUAGUGUUUUAUUUUCAUAUUAAAAUUUAAAAAAGUUAAAUACAUAAAUUAAAAUUAUUUAUCAUAUCAAAAUUAUUAAUAGCCACAUGCUUCACAAUCAGUCCAGGAUAGUUGAGUAAAUGAAUUUUCCAGGUUAAUUAGUUUUACAGUGUGAACUAGUAAUCUUCUUUACAAGACAAAAAUAGAAACGUCAUAACUACCGAUUUUAGGACAAAUCUAGUCAAAAGACGUCUCUUUCACAGACGAUGUUCAAUUGCAUGAGAUCAAUUGAAGGUGGACCAAUUUGAUUUAUUACUAUUAGUAAGCAUGGCAAGAAUCUUAUUAUCCAUUCGGAUAUUGUAAAUUAAUUUGAUGUGGUCUGUCUGUUUGACUCCUGUGAAUGAUUACAUUUUGAGAUUUGUAUGACCCUUUUGUAAAGAAAAGAAGAGCGAGGUGUACAAAUCCCUCUGUAGCUUAAGCCAAAAACGAUUAUAUACUAAUACACAUAUAUUAAAAUUGACUUUAAAAGUUUAUGCAAAUACAUUUAAUUUAUUAAUAUUUAUAAUAUUUUGUUAUUAAUGUUUAAAUAAAAAAAUAUUUAUUUUUUUAAAUAAAUUAUAAAUAACUCAGUAAUUUUGUAUAUGUUUAAUAGUAAGAUAAUAUUAUAUUUUUAAAUAUCAAUAAUAUCAACUUGCAAGUAAUAACGAGUUUUCACAGGAAGGCAUUUUCAGAAUUUGCAUUCUAAAGGGCCUUGAACUGACAAUUUUGCUAAGCAAUCAGUCACAGAGUUAGUCUCACGAAAGAUAUUUUUGAAAUUAACUUCCCACGCAUAAUCCACCAAAGUCGUAAUAUCAUAAAUUAGAUUCCUAACCCAGCUUGCUUCAUCUAAACUUUUCUCAAUUAAUUGCAUGGUCACCUGUGAAUCAGUUUGAACCUGCUUUUUAUAUAGUUUUUUAUUAUUAAUUAUUAUAAUACUCGUGUAUAUUAAAAAUAAUAAAAUAUAACAACUAGAUGUCUAUAAAUUUAUAAGUUAUAUUAUUUAAACAUAGUGUUAUUAUAAUAAUAUAUUAAAAAUAGUACUUCUACUGAUACUAUUUAAAUUGAUAAUUAUUUUUAAUGGAUAUUAUUUAAUAAAUUUGAUUUUUUUAAAAAUAAUUAUUUUAUUUUUAUCUUUUUAAUUAUUAUUGUAUUAUAAUAAAAUAUUUAUAUUAUGUUAAUUUGAUAGUAUUAUUUAUAAUAUAAUUUUUAUAAUAAUAAAUAUUUUUAAUUAUUUUCAUAAUAUAUUUUAAUUUUUAAUAUAUUAAUAUAAUAAUAUUAUAAUUAAAUAAUAUAAUUAUAAAUUUAUUGAUAAACAGUUAUCAUGGCUUUUUUUUAAUUACUGUACUAUAAAAUUAAUAUUAUGUUAAACGUGUACAGUUGUAUAAAAACAUUUAAUAAAAAUUAAAUUAAAUUUUUAUAACAUUAAAUAUUUAUAUUAAUUUAUUUAUUUUUCUUUAAUAAAUUAUAAAUAAUACAAUAAUAUUAAUAUCGUAUAGAUUUUGUAAAAAAUAACUCAAUACGUCUACUAAAUAAUAUAAUAUACUUUAUUAUUUUUAACAUAUUAAUAUUGUAAUAUAAUAAUAAAAUAGUAUUAUUGAUCAAUAUACAUUUAAUUACAGAAUAAUAUUAUUUCAUAACUUUAAAUAUUUUUUAACAUAAUUUUUUUAUUAUUAAUUUUAUAAUAUCUCUUUAAAAAUAAUAAAAUACAUUAAAUAAUGACGUAUUAAUAAAUUUAUAAUUGAUAUUUUUUUAAUUACUAAAUUACUUUAUUAAUAUAUUAAAAUAUUUAUUAUUAUAAAAAAUAUAUUAUAAAUUAAUAUAAUAUAAAUAUACCAGUAUAAUAUAUUAAUUAAAAUAAUAAAACAAUUAAAAAAAGCUUGCGCGCAGGCAUUAGCCAUUUAAAUCCUGCGUGGAAGCUUGUUUCUAUGAAAAAAAUAUAAAAUAUAAUUUUGACCUCUUUAUACACAUCAGGAGUGAAAUUUUCUAUUUGGUAAAUAAAUUUAAAUUAAACUCAAAAACUUAAAUAUUUGUAUUUGUAUUGAGCAAUGAUAGCUAUGUGUAUAAAAAUAUCCUAUUUCUAAAUUAAAGUAAUUGGGUGUGAAUUGAUUUUUUAGUAUUUUAUUUUAUAUAAACAAAUUGACCCUUUGCAAUUAAUUAAUUAUAUAUAUGAUAUACUCGGUGUCUGCCACGUGUAUAAUGUUUUCUUAAACUAUGAAGAGUGAAAUUUAUUCUUUACAAGUAAUAAAUCUUAUAGACAGAAAGAACUGAAUAACCUCAAUAUAUAGGUUUAGUUAUGCACUUCUUCUAAUUUUUUUGAAAUUAAAAGUAAAAAUCAGUAAGUGGAAGAUUGCAUAUGCGAUGAUGGAAGGCAAGGUGUUAGAAAUGGAUCGAAAAUAGACAGAAUAAACGCGUAAACUUUUCCCACCUCAUUGCAAAACAACUACAUAUCAAAAUCCAUUAUUCCUCUCUGACGUUCAAAGACAGCAGUUUGGAUUUCUCUAUUUCUUGCUUUUUCCUUUCUUUUCUUUUCUUUUCUUUCCUUUUCCGUUCCUGGAGGUGUCGGUAGGACCAAGUGUUCUAUCCAUUUGUCUGCCGCCCAUUGACUUGGCCAUCCUUUUCCAUAAUUUAAGGUCCUUAAUUAAUUAAUUAAAUUGGUCCAUUUUCAAGUCCAAACAACCCCAUGCUAGCCAACUCUAGUUACUUUCCAUGAUAUUCUCUCCUCUCUUUCCGCGUACUUUGCCCUAAAGUUUACUAUUUUUUUCUUGACUACAUGCCUUUUCGAGUCAGUUAUAUAAAAUUAAAGGAAGGGAGAAUCUUAUUCGGUUUUUUUAGUUUACUAUUAUUUAUGGACUAAAUAAUAUGUAAAAUUAAAAUUUUAUAAAUUAAUUAAUAUAAAAUUUUAAGUCGGAUAAGAUUUUUUAAAAACUUACUAAAAGUUUUAAUUUUAUAAAAUAUAUGAAUGUUUUAAUUGAAUCGUUUUAAAAUAAAAAUAAAUUAGUAAAAUUUUUUAAAAUAUUGAAACUUAAUAAUAUUUUUUUUUUCAAAAUUAAAUUUCUAUUUAAAAUUUCAAUUCCACAUGCGAUAACUAGUGUUCGCGGAUAAAUAUAAGACUGGUUAAACAUUGUAUGCAAUAGUAAGUUCUAUUACCCUCUCAAUUAAAGAAUUGAGGUUUGAUUUUUGGAAAUAAAUACUGUAUGCAAUAGUAAGUUCUAUUACCCUCUUAAUUAAAGAAUUGAGGUUUGAUUUUUGGAAAAUGUAUUACUGAUAGAAACAGAAUAAAAUUUGUUAGAAUUAAUAUUUUAUAAAUUGUAAUUGAACUUUACUCAAUUUGCCAGUAUAAAUUCAUUACUUGUAUACUUUCUAAAAAAUUCCUUCAAAUUUGUGAAAAAUUCGACAAAUAGAGGACGAGUUUUUAAGAAAUUUUAACUUACUUUUCAAUACUAAAGUAAUACAGAUUAGAGAAUUAAAUCAUGAAAUAGCUUGUGAGAUACUAAAAAAGGACACUCACAAUAUAAAAUUCAUGGAUUUUCUAAUUAAAAAUUCAACAACCACCUAUCAGCAGCCGAUAAGACUCAGAAAUACAUAUGGUUGGAUAAUAAAGUUCAAGUGUUGAGACAUGAUUAGAAACCGACCAAGAAGAAGACUCAGAAGUCAUAUAAGUAAAAAUAUGAAAGUGAAAGGAGUUAUCCAGUGUCAUGCAGUAUGGAUGACCGAGGUAAAUUUAAAAAAUAUACUCUACUAAAUGACUCACAAACACACAUGCUUAUGUGAAUCAGGAAAUGUAAUAUGGUCGAGUCGUUUUUUAUUCUUGGAGGAUUUUGUAAUUCAUGGAAAUAUUAUCAAUAAAUUAUGAUAUAUUUUUCAAUCCUUUUGGUGUUUAAAUCAGAAUUAUUAGAAACGAUAGAUUGAUGAAAGCAUUGAAAAAAGAAAAAGCGUCACAAGGCGGAUAACCGUCAGGCGAUUCUUCGAGCUUAGUCCCGAAAGACAAAGACAAUUUCUAUAAAAAAACGCCAUAAGAUGGGUAAUCGAAAAGCGAGCCACAAGGAGGGUAACCGUCAGGCGAGUCUUCGAGUGUUAAUCCUAAAAGAUAAUGAUUAAGACAAAUUCUAUCAAAAAAUGCCACAAAGCAGGUAAAGCUAGAUAAGCUAUAAGGCGGGUAACCGCCAAGUGAGUCUUCGAGUGUUAGUCCUAAAAGACAAUAAUUAAGGUAAAUUCUGCCAAAAAAACACCAUAAGGCGGGUAAGCAUCAAGCGAGCCGAGCCACAAGACGGAUAAUCGCAAAGUGAGUCUUUGGGUAUUAGUCCUAAAAGAUAAUGAUUAAGGCAAUUUCUACUAAAAUCGAUACAAAAUGGGUAACUGCCAAACAUAUGACCGAGUGCCAGACCCAUUAAAAAGUUUAAGGCAUUUAUGUCUAAGACAGCAAGUGGGUAAUCGCCAGGCAUAUAAUCGGGUGUCAAACCCAUUAAGAAAUUUAGGCAUUUUACCUCAAGGCGGAUAACUGCCAGGGCGAGUCCGAAUGUUAGUCACACUUAACAAGUUUAAGGCAUUUUUUGCCUGAGUCUCGAGGUGGAUAACCAAUAGGUAGCCCAGGUGUUAGUCCCAUUAAUAAAGUUUUUCAAACAUUUAUGCCUAAACCACAAGGCGGGUAACCAUCAAGUACAUGAUCAGCCUAUUAAUAAAGUUUUUAAGACAUUUAUGCCUAGGUCAUAAGGCGGAUAAUCGCUAGACACAUAACCGCUAGGUAAAUGUUCUAAAUGUUUUGUUGUUAGUUUUGUUGAAAUACAUUAAAUCAUUUAUUUAUCAAAGUUUGAUGAACGAUCUGUAAAAUUGCCAGUGAUAGUUCUAGUUAUUAUUUAUAUUAUUAGGCCGAGUACUGAUCCUAAUAUUUAACAAAAAUAAAAACAAGAGGAUGAAUAAAAUAUUUUCAUUAGAAAAGUUUUACACGACAAGAGGAACAUCUUCAGUCUCCUCCUCCCGAGCUUCUAUUAUAUUCUCUACAUCUAUUACAUUUUCAGUAGAAGUCGGGUUAGAGGAAUUGUCUUCAUUUGGUUUAUCCUCAUCCUGCCUAUCUUCGUCCUCUUCUUCUUCCUCGGAAAAGAUGUCGUUAAUUCAGGAGAAGUCCUUUGCUGGAAAUUGCUUGAUGAGCACCUUCUUCACAGAGUCUUGGCCUUCAACAAACAUCUCCCCACCCCGGCCUACCGUCUCUCGAAACUUAGCUUCUAGUUUAGCAGUCCUGUCUGUGGUGGCUCGACUUUCCUGAGCUUGAGAUUGCAGCUCCUGGACUUGCCGUUGAAGAUCAGUCACUUGAUCCUCGGCAGUCUUAGCCCGAUUUUCAAGAGUAGUCUUUAUAGCAUUGGCUUCAUCCAGAUCCACCUGAAACUUAUCUACAAACUCUAAGGUCUCCUUCAUGGUAUUCUCCACCUCGGUUACCCGAGUCUUCAACCUAAAGCAUUCCUCUUGAAAAAAGUUUUGUCCGUCUCUUGGACACUAUACUCUUUCCUUGGGGACUUGUUCUCUCCUUGGCUAAGUACAUACAUAGAGCAUUUUCUAUAUCAGAAUGCAUGACGUUGUCAUAUAGUUCAUUUGUCUCAAACACACUCAUCCCUACACGGUCGAACUCCAUCCUUCCAAAGUUCUACAUAAACAUUUCAAUCAGUUUGUAGUUGUCCAAAACCCCCUGGACACCCUGUGGCGGAGGAUAAAGAAUUUAUGUUUUAAACGCUUCAAGGAAGAGGGUCUCCAGUUGAAGAGGGUCUGACGCUUUUUUCCUUUAAAAAAUCAAAACUCCUCAUUUUUUUGAGUUUUCAACUAGUAUAGUUGAGAGAAGAAAGCAACGUUCGGCUUGAUGUUUUUAUUAAAAUAGACAAAGUGGAAGACCAUGAGAAUUCUCCAAUUGUUUGGAUGAAACUAAGCAAUUGACAGCUUGUGGAACCUAAGGAGUUAAACGAAUUAUUUUAAUAAAAAUAAUAUACUUUAAUAAAAAAAAUAUUUUAUAUUUAAUAAAAUUAUAAUUUUAUUCACACUUUCAUCUAUUAUUAAAAAUAAAUAAAUCGUUGUUUUAUACUCAAUAGCGAAGCCAAAUAAAAUGAAUUUCAAACUAUUAUAAUUAACUUAUAAUUAUAAUUAAAAUAUAUAAAAUUGCAUUUUACUGUCGCGGUCUUAAAUUGACACUUUAAAUUUUUAAAAAUUAAAUAGUUAUACAUUAUAAUAUUUAAAGAUUUAAUAAUUAUAUUUUAUAAUGUUGAGGAUGAAAUAGUUAAAUUUAUAUAAAUAGUAAAGUAUUAAAAUUUAAUAAAAAAAAAGAAUACAACUUUUGUAUAAAGUAGAGGAGCCAAAUCAUAUAUGAUUUUAAAUGUAAUGAAUAUAUAUUAUAUAUAUGUACAACAUGGAAUUUUCAAACAGAGAAUUCAGUUGCUAUAGUUGAAAAUUCAGUUAUGAAAAGGCUAUAUCCAACACUUGGGUCAAUCAAAUAUUAGUGCAAGCACAUGACACAUCAAUAAUGGAUGUACCUAUCUAUACACUCACAAAGCCCACACCUUUCAUAAAGAAUGCCCCUUCCAUGUGGCAGCCGCAAAAGGAAGGGGAAAUUACUUUUUCUUUUUUUUUUUUAAUUUAUUUAUGUUCAACAAAAUUAAUAAAUUAUUUCAUCUUUUUAUUUGAAAAAUAAAUUAAUUAGGGCAAUUAUUAAAAUAAAACUUCAAUCAUGUAUACUUUAAGAAAAUAGAUAAAUUAAAGGGACGGAAUAAAAUCCAAACACACACUUAAAAUGAUAAAAAGGACUAAAAAAAUGAAUGAAAUAAAAAUAUAGAAAUUAUUUAACCUAUUUUUCAAAAUAAAAGUAAUUUUCUUAAAUUAUAGAUUUUAAAAUAAUAUAUUUUUAAAAAAUAAAGACAGUGGAUAAUAUAUGGUGAGACUGGAAACUUAGUGUUGAAGGCAUUUGAGUUUUAUAUUAUAGAUACUUGAUAUGUUGACUGAUUAAUUUUUAUUAGAUAUCUCAAUUUUUAACUUAUAUCUUAAUUUUAUUUCUAAAUUUUAUUGUUUACCCAACUUGACCUGAAAUAAGGAUUUGAUAGAAAAAAAAGAAAGUAUUGUUCCUUCUUUUGGGUUUUCCGACUGCUUGAGAUAAAGAAGCCUAGCUAGGGUGGUUGAGAAGUCUCUCGAACAGUAGCCAUUACUGGCUGUGCUUAAUAACCAUUGAAGCCUUAGGAGUCGGUAUAAGUAGAAAAAAUCUUUAAAGCAAUCACUUGCUAUGCAAUAAAAACAUAUUCAUGUUCAAGUUCAGACCAUACGCAACCACAAAAAAAAAUUAAGCAAAUGAUAAAAGCGAAAUAAAAUAGCCGACAUCUAGCACCAAUCAAGAUAGAGAAGAUGUGCGCUUCGAUGACCUAUUCAUACAUUUUAAGACAUACUCCAUAAGCUACCAUCAUGCUGCCCUUUAUUGAACUAGAUAAGCAAAGCCAAGUGCAAGAUUUAGGAAGCCAUCAGCUUGCAUGCAUCAACCAUAACAAAGAUAAAACCAUAAAAAAAAAUUGCAAACAAAAGAAUUUUCCCUCAAUGUCUUCUCAUGUCUUCUGGUAAAAAUCUAGACAAUUUUGAUAAAAAAAUCUAAAUAGAAAGAAAAAAUAAAAAUAAAUCAAUUGGAGGUGCAAGAGAGAAGCAAAAGAUGUUUCUCUCCCGAACAGACCUAAUUGCAGGAAAUUGAUAUAAGAUUAGAAAUUGAACCCAAAGAGAAAAACCAUUCUCAAAAUAAAAACUCACUAGAUAAUUAGAGAGAGUCAUACGAGAUCCACUUUAAAAAAAGUUAUAUGAUGAGUUUGUGUGUAUUAUUCAUAUUUCAAAUUGCUCAAAACUUUAUCACUAUUCAAAUCGAUGUGAAAUUAUUUUCUUUCGAGUAUAAAUUAUAUUAAAAAUUUAAAAGAAACUUGGCAGAACUAGUAAUGAAAUUUUAAUUUGAUGGGCCAAAUCAUUCUUUAAAUAGUAAGGAUUUAAAAUUUAUUAUUAAAUUAGCAACAUAUUACAAAAUUUAUUGCUAAUUUAACAAUUAAUUUAAAAUUCAUUACAAAUUUAAAUUUAAAUUAGUUGCUAAUUUAUCAAAGAUGAAAAAAUUUUAUUGAUAAUUUUUUGAGAAAAAAAAAAGCGAUUUCUUAUUUGUAAGUUACCAAUAAAUUAAUGAUGAAUUUUAUUUAUGUUGCUGAAUUUUAAUUCUAUUGCUAUUUCGUUACUUAUUUAGCAACAGAAUUAAAAUUCGUUCCUAUACUAGGCAUUAAAUUUUUUUUAACUAACUGUUAAUUUGUGAAAGAGGAAAACUUACUUUUCUUUUUUAAUUAAUGAUAAAUUUUUAAUCUAUCAUUAAUUUGCAGUAAAUUGCAUAUAUGAGUGCAAUACCUUCAUUUUCUUUAUUUACUUAUUUUUAAAAUUAUUGUGCUACUCAUGAAUUUAAUUUGUUGAUAAAGAUAUUUGAGUAAAUCUGAAAAAUUUCAGAUUCUAUUUCUUUAAUCUUCGAUCUUCAUUCUAAAAGAAAAUAUUAUAAAAAAAUAUUAUUACGAUAUGUAAGUAUAUGGGUACAUAAUUAAGUGGGAUCAAUCACUUCCCCACAAAUGUAAUGUUGAGGAUGUGAAAGGACAAAUAGGAUAUACUGGUAGAAUCUCACAAUUUUUUAUUUUUGGAGAAAAAAAAAAAAAAACAAAGUCACAUCGUUGUUGAAUGUAGGAAACAACACGUACCCCACCUUACUAUACUUGUAAUUGGAAUUACCUACUCGUCAACUUCUCUCAAUUGAGAAGCCUUUGCCUUUAGUUGUUCCCACAUCCUUUUCUCUUUCAUCUUCUAUCAUAUCCACGUAGUUUCCUUUUCCAUGCAUCAUUUUUCUUUUAUAAAUCUUUUCCAAAGCAUGUGGAGACCCACGUAGAUACUUAGCUAUACAAUAUUAUACGACAAAUUUCAAGUCAUAUCUAUAUUAAUUAUUAAAAUAAUUUAUUUAAAAAUUUAAACUUGCACAAAUAAAAAAAUAAAAUCUAAAUUGAUAAAAGGAAAGCAAAUAUAAUAAUGAAAUUCAAAAUUUGAUAAAAAUAGGGAAAACGUUAUCCUUUGAUUAAAAGUCUUUGGCAAUAAAAUCAUUUUCUUCAUUUUUAUUAAUUUUUUAAAAACAAUAUAUAAUAUUAAUUGCCACAAAAAUCAACCAUACCAUUAGGAACAAAACAAUGGUUCAUGACUUCAUGUGGUGAAGGCAACAACCACCAACUUACCUUACCAAAUAGAAAUAAAUAGAUAAAUAAAAUCCUACUUAGAUUUUGACAUUUUCUUUAAUCUUUUAAAAAAUAGUCUCUUUCAAAUUAACUUUUCUUUUUCUUAUUUUAUUCACUUUAUCCUUUAUUUUUAGCUAACUUUUUUUACGCGUAUUAGACACAUCUUAGUACUUAAUCACAAAGAAAAACAAGCCACUAAAUCUCUUACCUAAAUCCUGAUUAUCUCAUUCAUUCGCUUUAAUUUUAUCCAAUCGUAUCUGUUCGAUAAUUUUAAUUAUUUUAAUAAUUUGUGUAUGUAUUGAAUUGAGAUAGAAAUAGCAUUUCUUUAAUUUAAAUUAAAUUUUAAAAUAAAUUAUAUUUAAUUCAAAUUUAAUAUGAUAUUAAAAUAUUCUAAAUAUUAUCUCCUGUGAAUAUUUUAUAUUUCAAUAUAGUCAGGAAUUAGCAGUAUUUGAUUCAAACCGAAAAAAACGAUCGAAUCAAAUUAAUUUAAAAUUUUAAUUUAAUUUUUUAUUCAUUUUAAUUCAAUUUUUAAUUUUAAAAAUUUUGAUUAUUUUAAUUUAGUUUGAUUUUAAUCAGAAAAAAAUUAAAAAAAUCAAACCGAACCGAUCAGUGAUAAUAGUAUAUUAUUUUCAAUAAUAUAGAGAAAUUAGAUUAUAUCAAUAUUAAAAUAUUUUAAUUAAAUUUUAAAAUAUUAAAAAUAAAAUAUAAAAAAUAAAAAAAAUAUAUUAAAAGUUCAAACCAAACCGAAUCAGACCGAUUCAUUUCGAUUUGAUUUUUAGUCAAAAUCAAUUCAGUUUGAUUUUUAUAAAUACUAAAAUUUUAAUUUUUAAUUUAUUCGAUUCGAUUCGGUUUUAAACCAAACUGACCGAAUACUCAUCUUAAUAUAAUUUUAAACGUAUUUAAGUGUUUUAAUAAUAAUUAAUAAAAUGUUAUAAGAGUUUAAAUUUUUACAUAAUUUAUUUUCUUAGCACCUAAAUAUCAGUCAAAAUGCUAAAUAUUAUUUUUAAAUUUAUUAUAAAUAAAAUUGAGUGUUUAAUUUAGAUUCACAAAUUUAUUUUAUAUAUAUUGAUUAAUUAUAAUAAAAAUUUUAGUGUAAUAAUUAUUAAAUUUAUUAUCUCUCUAUUUGCAAUUAAAAAUUUUAUAAAAAUUACAUUAAAUAUAUAUAUUUUUUCAAUAAUUCUCUUAUUUAAAAUAAAAUAAAAUAAUUUUAUUUAACUUAAAAUAUUUUUAUUUUAAAAAAAUAUAAUAUAUUGCAUGAUUUUUGAAAUUUUCAUUUAAAUUAUGUCAAAUGAUUCAUAUUAUAGAAUCUUGAUACGUUUUGGGAGGUUUUUUUUUUUUUCUUUUAAGUCCAUUGGCUGGUCCACUGGAAAGUUGGAAUAAUUACCGUAUAUUAUAAUUAGUUAUACUAAUCAAAUAGGUCAAAUUUAAGAAAUAGUAACACUUUUCCUAAAUCUAAUUACAACUACCAACUGUCUUCCCAACUAUAAAAUUGCAACUACCAUGUACCUAUAAUGCCCUUUAUUCUUUUAAAUAAAUUACAAAUUUACAUUAAAAAAAUGCAUAAUUAAUCUUACAACAAAAACAUAGUAAAACCUAUUUUUUAAUAUAUAUGGAAAAUAAAAUAAAUAAAAAUUAUGAGAUUGAUGGGUAUUUUAAUAAAUAAAUAAAUAAAUUAUUUAUAAUUUUUUUAAUUUAAUUAUUUUAUAUUCAAUGUGAAUUAAAAAUAGUAAUUUGGUGAGGAAGAUACGAAGAAAUUCAAUGGGAAAGAUUUGAAGGAAGAAUCGUUAAAAAAUAUUUGUGUUAGAUAAGGAUAAACUAAUAUAUUAUUGUAGUUUUAAUUUAUUGUUUUUUUAUUUUCGCAAAUCAUUUUAUAUUUAACUCCUUCAGUCAACAAACUUUUUUUUUUUCUCAGUUUGAAAAAAAAAGUAUAAGACAAUAGUUUUUCUUAUAACUUUCCCUUUUAGCCCUAUUUAAUAAAAUUGAAAAUUUUUAAUAAUUAUUUUCAAUUGGAAUUGGAAUGACAUUUCAUAAUUUUAAAUUAAUUUAAAUAAUUUAUUAAUAAUAUAAAACAUUAAUAUAAUUCUUUUAAUUUUAUUUUAUCUCUUAUAUAAUUCAGUAUUUUUAAACUGUUGAUAGUUUUUUAUUGGAUUCUAACGAUGACAUAUUUGUGAUUUUCAUGAACUGUUAUUACACUAUAACCACCAAAAAUCUCUAUAAAUAUAGAAUUCUUUAUUUAUUAGCCAAUAAAUUUAAAAUUUUAAAGUAAAUUUUUAAUUAAUUUUAUUUUUUUAUCAUAUAAAAAAUAAUUAUAAUAAAAAGUUCUACAUUUUCCACAAAUUAUCAACUAUCUCACAUUUUUUCGAUUCAAUUCAAUGCUAUUAACUUAUAAGUGUAGUUAAAUAUUAGCUCUCAAAACUAUUAAAUAGGAGAGUAGUAUUCAGUUCAAACCGAAAAAAUCGAUUGAAUCAAAUUAAAUUAAAAAUUUAGUUUGAAUUUUUAUUUAUUUCGGUUCAAUUUGAUUUUUAAUUUUAAAAAUUUUAAUUAUUUCAGUUCGGCUUUAUUAAAAAAAAUAAAAGAAAAAUUAAAUCAAACCGAUUAAUGAUAAUAGUAUAUUAUUUUUAAUAAUAUAGAGAGAUUAGAUCGUUAAAAUAUUUUAAUUAAAUUUUAAAAUAUUAAAAAUAAAGUGUAAAAAUUAAAAAAUCUAUUAAAAAUUCAAAUUAAUGAAAUCAAAUUGAAUCAAACUGAAUCAGACCGAUUCUAUUUGAUUUGAUUUUUAAUAAAAAUUAAUUCGAUUCGAUUUUAAUAAAUACCAAAAUUUUAAUCUUUAAUUUAUUCGAUUUGAUUUGAUUUUGAAUUAAACCGAACGAAUAUUCGGUUUUUAUUGAAUCCUAGAGUAAUCUCAAUAGGUACUUUUAUUUUUAAUUUAAAGCUCUAUUUGAAAUUGUAAUUAAAAAUUUAAUUUUUUAAAAGAAAUUCUUUUAAAUAUCAUUGAAAACAUGAUAAAAAAAAAUCAAUUUGCUAUUAUAAUUUUUUUAAGAAAAAAAAGCAGUAAAAAAAAGGAAUUCUUUAUAGUAUUUUAGCAAUUUAUAUAUAUAUAUGGGAGUUGGACAUGAAAGAUAUAAUAAAAUUAUUGUUUAGAAAAAUAUAAUUUUAGAAAUUAUUAAAUAAAUAGUUUCAUAAAUUAUUUAGUUAUUCUAUAAUUUAAAAUUAAUAUAUUUAAGACAUAUUAUUAGAUUUUUAAAAGGAUUCAAAUUAGAUAUAAUCUUUUCUAAAAAAAAAUUAAAUUAUUUUCUUGUUGGGAAAAUAAUUUGGCAAGAGACUCCUGUCCAUCUCUUCUAUUCUAUCUCUCAUCUUCCAGUCUAAAGACACUUUGCCAUCAUCAAUCCCUGUUCUCAAAAGCUUGGAGGCCCAACAUUGCAUGAAACGGUCCACGUGGCGUAACCCCUUUUCUUCCUCUCCUUUCUUUUAAACCCAAGAUAUACAAAUGCAAAACGACCAGUGUUCCACUCUUCUAUUGGCUUUUGGAUUCUUCGGUUAUUCCCCCAUUUCAAGUUCCAUGGUUCAACGCACACAAAACUCUUAAUUUUUUGAAUAAACAAAAUACCCACCUAUUAAAUCCAAAUCCCGACAAGGAAAUUUUUAUAUUUGAAUAAGAUUCACCGAGAGAAAGAAGGAACAGUGAAAAACAGAUUCACCAAAAGCUCCCUGAAUCAAAGUUUCAGCUCUUUCAGGACUAUCUGCACCGACUCGGUUACUCUUCUCUCUCUCUCUCUCUCUCUCUCUCUGCCUCUCUUUCGGUCUAUCUUCUUAUUUUAUUUAUUUUUCUCUAUAUAUCUGGGAUAGUCACCUUUCAAAUCUGGUGUAUGAAUCUCUCGCUUUUUCUUUUGAUUCUGUUUUGAGCUUUGAAGGCUUGUUUUCUGUUGAGUUUUUGUUCAGCUUACAUGGGUUCAUUUUAGUUUUUGGAGCUAGUGAAUGUAUAGAACAAAACCCAUUAGCAAAACCCUAAGUUUUGUCUAUCUAGAUUAAAUCAUUCCUCAAUUGAAUCAUUAUGGCAUUUGAUCAGAACCAUAUCCCUAAAGAUCUAAGACCAUUAACCGUUGCCAGAACAAUAUCCGAAGAGCCCCGCAUUGCUGCGGCUUCCAUCGCUGCUGCUCCCUCUAUUGCUACAACGUCAGCAACGAGUAGAAGCCCAGAAAUUUUUGCCAACCCAGAUGGUUCUAUACCCGUUUUUUACCCGAUGACCGUGUCUGAUGCUGGUUUUGUAGGUUUAGGGUAUGGUAAUCCGGCCCCAUGGGCUCCACGCCUGCCGGUGCCGAUUGGGAGUGGGAAUAGCGCUUCUGUUGGGUUUGGUUACAGCCCCAAUUUGGGUAAUAGGGUGGUUGGUAAUGCCGUUGAUCAUGCUGCACAUGAUGUGGUUGGUGGGUCUGGUAGCAGUCCCCAUUUGAACAAUAUGGUUAACUCUAAUGGGGGCAAUGAGUUGACAAGUUUGGGAUUUGGUUACAAUCCUAAUUUGGGGAACCGUGGAAGUGGUAGUGGCACCGGGGUUGAUCAUGUGAGUGAAGAGGGUGGGGAUGAUUCUGUGUCUGGGAAGAAAGUCAAGUUCUUAUGUAGUUUUGGGGGGAAGAUUUUGCCUAGACCCAGUGAUGGUAUGUUGAGAUACGUUGGAGGGCAGACUAGGAUCAUUAGUGUGAGGAGAGAUGUGACCUUUAAUGAGCUAGUGCAAAAGAUGGUGGAUGCAUAUGGGCAACCAGUGAUUAUCAAAUACCAGCUUCCUGAUGAGGAUCUUGAUGCACUUGUAUCGGUUUCUUGUCCUGAUGAUCUUGAUAAUAUGAUGGAUGAGUAUGAGAAGUUGGUUGAGAGGUCUUCCGACGGGUCAGGUAAGUUAAGGGUUUUUCUGUUCUCUGCUACUGAGCUUGAAGCAGCUGGUACAGUGCAAUUUGGAGAUUUACAUGACAGCGGACAGAGAUAUGUUGAUGCAGUAAAUGGAAUUGCGGAUGGUGUUGGCUGUGCUUUUGCUUGGAAGGAGAGUAUAGCAAGUGCAACUUCAACUCAGAACUCUGAUUUUAGUGGCACUGAGGCGGUUGAUAGCUCAGGUACUGGACAAGUGGACGUGAGUGGCGCGCCAACAACUAGUUUAUUGUCACCUAGAGGCGAUCUGGCAAGCCCCCACGAUUCCAGUCCAAAAUUUGUGCCAGUGGAGCCUAAUCCUCCAGUUUAUGCUGAUGCAUCUGCAGUGUCCCUGGGCAUUCCCACGGUUAAGUCCGGCCCUCCCCAAACAUUAUCUUCACAGCCAGAGGUUGAAAUUGAGAGGUCUAUACCUGUUGCUGUGCCACAGCAGCAAUUGGGAUAUGAUUUCCAGAAAAUGGGAAUGGGCAUUCCACCACCUGCAUCUCACUUGCAGGCUUAUGUAGAACCCCACCAAGAAAUCACAAAUCAUGCAGAUUAUAUGUAUCUUCCUGCCCAGAUGAGAUUUCCCAAUGCUCAGUUGUUGGGGACUGCUGGAUCUGUAUUCACUCAACAACAGAUUCGUGACAGUAAUGCAAGUGUGGCUUCUCAUCAAUAUAUUCCUGCUGCGCAUAUGACGAUGAGUCCCACAUCUUCUCAUGUAGCUAUGAGGCCAACCAUUGUUCAGCCACUGGUGCAACCACAACAAGCUCGUGUGGAGCGAUUUUCAGAUGAAAACAUGCAUGGAACAAGGAUUGUUCAGUUUCCUGAUCCAGGUUACAAUGCUUAUCAGCUCCAACAUCCCCCUGCUAUUGUUGGGGGUGGCUACUGCUGGCAUCCAGUUGCUCAGACAGAGCAUGUUGUCUUUUCUGAUGGAUCAGUGCCCCACCAGCAGGUAAUAAUUCCUGAGAAAAUUCAGAGGUUAGAGGAUUGUUUCAUGUGUCAGAAACAAUUGCCUCAUGCACAUUCAGAUCCUUUGGCACAGGACCAAAGGGAGGGUGGGAUAAGCAAUCUAUCUCAUUCAAACUCACUUAAUCAUAGUCUUCAUUUGGGAGACACUAUGAAAGGUCAGCCUUUGAGUUGGAGUAUGGUUGGUGGAGGUUUGGGGGAUGGCACUAUUGAACAGGGUGUUGGGGCUCGAUCCUCUGCCCUUAGCCAUGUUGACCAUCAAGUUGGAUUGCAACAAUCAGAAGCAAUUGUGUUCUCUCAUAAUGAGAAUGAGAGAACUACCAUGCGGAAAGCAGAUGAUUCUGAUCAAUCUCAGAUUUCAGUUCCUCAUGGUAUGAUGGCUGUACCAGGAUUCCAGGGUAUAGUUCUCCAGUCUCGUCCAGAAGGUUCUGUUCAGCAGCAUCAGGUUUCAGGUCAAUACCAGGUUAAGGAGGAGACCUUACAGAUAAAACCUAGUAAUGGUAAUUUCUCUAAUUUUCCUGGUGUAAUUCAAGCUUCAGAACGAUCAGGUCAUGAAUGCCCAGUAGAAUACUCUGGUAGCAUGCAUCGUGAUGUUUCCAAAGAAGAUAUUAUAGACUCCUGUGUAUCAUAUGAUCAGCGAAGAUCAGUUGAGGAGAUGUUAGAAACCCUCCAUAUAAACCCUGAAAUUAAUAAUGAUCAGAAUAAGUCACAUGUUGAUAAUCUGUGGAAGGAAGAUAUCUUGGAUCACAGAACCCAACAAUUAGGUGGAAGGGAUGCAUUUCUGGAUGAUAGCUAUAAAAAGCAUCAGGUGGUUCCUGACUCAAACCAUGUUAAGCCAACUGAUUUACUGCCUGCUUCUGUGGUCACGCAGCAACCUGUUUACGGUAAUCAAGUAUCAUAUCCACAAUCCAAUAUUGGAAUUCAUCUAUUGGAUUCUGGUGAGGUUAGUUAUGGAAACCCUACAUUCCAAGUUGUUCAGCCAGCCUAUGCAAUUGAUAGAAUCCUACAACCAAAAAUUAGUCCAACUGAUGUGGGACCUGGAGCUCAAAAUGCUAAUGUGCCGUCUUCCUUAGCAUCAUCUGGUAGAGUUAGUGAUUUUCAGGAUUCCCCAAACUCACUUUUCAGCAGCCAGGAUCCAUGGAAUCUAAGGCAUGACGCUCACCUUCCUCCUCCUAGACCCAACAAAAUUCUAACGAAAAAAGAAGCUUUUGAUACCAAAGAUCCUUUCAGUGAGAACCUUGCAAAUAAUCCUGUAGAAAUAAUAACAGAUGGGCUGAUGGGGGAUGGGGUUCCCCAGCCACUGAGCAAUUCAAAAAAGGAUUUGAAUUUGGAGCAAGCUCAAUCAUCCAAAGGUGAGCAGUUAUACUUUUUAUUGUUGUGCAUACUGUAUAUGGAUAGGUUUUGUGCAUAGUUGUAUUCGGAUUGGUUAAUUCGUCACUUAUGUUGCAAAUUUGUUUUCUUCGUCUUGUGUUAAAAGGCUCAGCUGAGGAACUCAUCAAGCAAGAACUUCAGGCUGUAGCUGAGGGAGUAGUUGCUUCUGUUUUUCAAUCAGGUAAUCAUAGUCCUGACUCAAUGGUAUAUGAAAGAAAUGAAUCAGCAUAUGAAGCAAGUCAAGACAUGAAAAUUUCAAGCGAAGAUAUAGAAGUGCAGCACAAAGCUAAAUUUGAGGUGCUCUGUCCUUUUUGUUCUGGAUGUAUUUGUCUGCUCAUGUUUGUUUUAUAUUUUGAUUUACUAGUGUCUUCUGACGUUGUAUUCAUUUGAUUGGGCAUUUCCAACAUUUCUUUUACUUGAUUAACUCAGGACAUGAAGAAUAAACUGCCAGAAAAGCUGAAUUUUCGAUUUCCAGUAUCUGAAGGAAAUUAUCGUCUGCAGGUUGGAAACCUAUUUUUUUUCCUUUUUUUUUUUCAAAAAAAAUCUUGAGGUUAUAUAGCUGUCAAUUUCUUAGGACUUCUUUUUUGGGAGCAGAUUAUAAAGAAUAUCGACCUUGAAGAGCUGCGAGAAUUGGGUUCUGGAACCUUUGGGACAGUAUAUCAUGGGAAGUGGAGGGGCACUGAUGUUGCAAUUAAAAGGAUUAACGAUAGAUGUUUUGCUGGGAAACCUUCUGAGCAAGAACGCAUGGUUUGUGGGUUUUUAUUAGGUGCAUCUUCCCUUAUUAAAGUCUUGCUUUGAUAUUGACUGAUGCUAUGCAUUAUUUGUACUUUGAAUAAAAUCAGAUAGAUGAUUUCUGGAAUGAGGCAAUUAAGCUUGCUGAUUUGCACCAUCCAAAUGUCGUUGCUUUCUAUGGUGUUGUGCUUGAUGGUCCUGGAGGAUCUGUUGCUACUGUGACAGAGUACAUGGUUAAUGGUUCUUUGAGGAAUGCUUUGCAGAAGAAUGAGAGGUUUAUUUCUUUUUCUUUUUUUUUCUCCAAAAGAAAAAUUAAUUUCAUGUUUCUUCUUUUGUAUCAUUUACAUUUCUAUGUACACAUCAUUUUUGAAGUGAUUUAAAUUUGACUGUUUAAAUGGUUUUUAUUAGGAGUCUUGACAAGCGAAAACGUCUGCUGAUUGCCAUGGAUGUGGCCUUUGGUAUGGAAUACUUGCAUGGAAAGAACAUAGUACACUUCGACUUGAAGAGUGACAAUUUACUUGUCAAUCUUCGAGAUCCUCACCGCCCAAUAUGCAAGGUUAGUUACAGGACCUAGAAAAGGUUGAAGUGUUCUGAUUAACUGGAAGAUUUUUUGGUUUAUUCUUAAGCUGUGCAGCAAACUUUCUUUAAGUGCUUAUCCAUCAUUUAGUCUUGUUUUAUAAAUAACAAUAGUUUUCCCUACCUACUUCAAACCCAGCCUGAUUUGAGAAUUUGAGAAGGCAAAGGUAAGAAUUUAAGAUUCAUCUGGAGUUUAACCAGUGUAAUAAUUAAAUUAAUAGUUUCUUUGUAAUUAAUGUAUCAUUACAAUGAGUAUUUUGAUAUAUANNNNNNNNNNNNNNNNNNNNNNNNNNNNNNNNNNNNNNNNNNNNNNNNNNNNNNNNNNNNNNNNNNNNNNNNNNNNNNNNNNNNNNNNNNNNNNNNNNNNNNNNNNNNNNNNNNNNNNNNNNNNNNNNNNNNNNNNNNNNNNNNNNNNNNNNNNNNNNNNNNNNNNNNNNNNNNNNNNNNNNNNNNNNNNNNNNNNNNNNNNNNNNNNNNNNNNNNNNNNNNNNNNNNNNNNNNNNNNNNNNNNNNNNNNNNNNNNNNNNNNNNNNNNNNNNNNNNNNNNNNNNNNNNNNNNNNNNNNNNNNNNNNNNNNNNNNNNNNNNNNNNNNNNNNNNNNNNNNNNNNNNNNNNNNNNNNNNNNNNNNNNNNNNNNNNNNNNNNNNNNNNNNNNNNNNNNNNNNNNNNNNNNNNNNNNNNNNNNNNNNNNNNNNNNNNNNNNNNNNNNNNNNNNNNNNNNNNNNNNNNNNNNNNNNNNNNNNNNNNNNNNNNNNNNNNNNNNNNNNNNNNNNNNNNNNNNNNNNNNNNNNNNNNNNNNNNNNNNNNNNNNNNNNNNNNNNNNNNNNNNNNNNNNNNNNNNNNNNNNNNNNNNNNNNNNNNNNNNNNNNNNNNNNNNNNNNNNNNNNNNNNNNNNNNNNNNNNNNNNNNNNNNNNNNNNNNNNNNNNNNNNNNNNNNNNNNNNNNNNNNNNNNUAUGUUCUUUAAGCUGGCAUCCUUCUCUCUCUCUGUUUUUUAAUCUGCAUAUUGAAAAUAGACCUCAUAUCAGGUUGUAAAAGGUGCUAGGCGAGGUGCCAUCCCCUUGGCUCGCCUGAGUAAGGCGAGUGCCUAUGACCAUUUAGGGGCCAGGUGAGAGGCCCCAAAGGCGUCGCCUCAUUGAAGUAGCAAUAGUUUUUUUUUUUUAAUGUUUUUUGAACAGCAAAACCAAAACCCUAGUCCCUCCCUAUCUGUUCCCCCAACAUCCCAAAGACUAUUUUCUUCCUCUCUCUUGCUCUCCUAAUAGUAGUCAGCAUGUAUGUGUCUCUUUUGUACCUCUUUCUCUAUCUAUCUCUUUCCCUUCUUCCUUUCUCUUUCUCUUCCUCUCUUUGUGCCUACUGGACCUGGUGCAAUGGCAGAUUCUAAUACCUUCUCUUUUUUUCUCCUUUCUCUCUUUUUUUUUUAUUUAUUUAUUUAUAAAAUAUCUCUCUUCUUCUCCUAUUUCCUCUUCUUUUCUUCUUCCAUUCUCUACUUCUCUUCCUAAACUGGCACUAUGGCAGCAUGUUUCGUGUAUGUGGACACACAGCGCACACAAACACUUGUGCACGCACACACGUAAAUUUAGGAUUGCCACUCUUCUAAAGCCAUAGACUACCUUAUCUUAGUGCUACCUUUCCCUUUAAUAACACUGCCAGAUAUGUUCUGCUAUUAGUCUGCAUGGCACGAUAGUUUGUUAAACCUCUGAAUUUAAAGUUCUUGGUCUAGGGUUCCAUUAGCAUGGAGUUCCUUGAUCAUUCCAUUUAUGCCUCACCUCAACUUGACAAUCCAAAAAGCAGUGGAGAGAGAAGGGGAGGUGUUGGGGUGGGGGGGGGGUGAAGGGAAGUCGCAGCAAGAGUGGAAGCUCUUUUUUGGAUUUAUAUGGUAGACUAAUUGAUGUAGAACCGAUAGAAUAAGAGAAACGAAAUCUCAAAGGGGAUGAAAACCGAAUUCUCAGCUUUUAUUAAUUCUUAAAUUGAAAAAAGUGCAAAUAAGCCCCUAUAUUUUUCAUCAAAAAACCAAAUAAAACCAAUUUCAACUUUUGGCCAAAUAAACCUUAUAACUUUUCCAUUUAAGUUUAAAUAGGUCUUAAUAUGAUAACAUGUUAUUUCUUUAAUUUUUUUGGGUUUAUUUGGUCUUGAAUGAAAAGUACAUGGGCCUAUUUCUUUAAAUAGGUCUUAAUAAAAAGUUUUGGGUUUUUUUGGCCAAAAAAGUGGAAAUUGUGCUUAUUUGGUCUUGAAUGAAAAGUACAUGGGCUUAUUUGAACUUUUUCCAUUCUAAAAUUAAUUAUCAAUCACAUAAAAUGGUUUACCCAAAUCCUAGAGAACUAAGGUAAUUACAGUAGAUUAUUUAUCCUAUAGUAUUAGAAUUUAAAACUUUAAAUAAAAAAAUAGAAAGCAAAGAUUAAUUAGUAAUUCCAAAUCCUACAAGUAGUUGUAGAAUUUCUGGAAAACCUUGCACUAUUCCUUCUUGUUAAAAGAAGUUGACUUUGGAGAGUUGAACUGAUAAUAAGAAUCCAUUAGAGAAUGAUCUAGAGUUCGAAAUUUCUUUUCAAUAAUCAAAGUAGCAUUGGAAAUAGAAUGAUGACUAAAUGCAUAUUUAUAUCAAUGUAUUAUUUUGGAUCAGCCCAUUAAAUACUUGAACUAACAUUAAAAUAUAUUGGACACUUAGAAUUUACAAAAUUCAUAACUAUUAAGCACAAAUUAGCUAUUAUCAUCGAGGGCUUAAUAAAAAUGUUAGAAAUAGUCCCACAUAUUGCAGACUAUACUUUGAAAAUUUGCUAAAUCUAGUUUAAAUUUUUGUAAAUGGUAAAGUUAUUCUUGUCUAACCUGGUUAACUUACGAAAAUUUGUAGUGCAAUUAGAAUUAUAUGUGAUCAUUUUUUUACUUUUUAUAAAAAAAAUGAUAAUAUGGAUAAUUUGUAUUUAAUUGUUGUGAAUUUUAUAAAUUUAGAUGUUUGAUUGGCUAGUUUAAGUAUUUAAUGGGUUAAUCCCAAAUAAAAUAGAGGUGUGAGCUUGUAUUUUGUCAUGGAACAACCAUACCAUUUGACGAGAUUUUCUAGUGCCACCUUGGGAGAAAGUAAUAAACUCAUCAUCUACUACUUCUAUGGAAUCUCUUUGUUAAGGAGAUGGCAACUUUUGCACAUAUUGAAACUCAUCAUUCACUACUUCCAUGGAAUCUCUUUGUUGAGGAGAUGGCAACUUUGGUGCUUAUUGACCUAAAAAAAUGCUAUAAUUCAACUUAGGAGCCUCAAAAGUAUCUUGAUGAAGUAACAAAUGCCUUCUAUUGAAAACAAAAACUAAUAUUCAUAUGAUAGGCAAGUCAAAUAAAUAUGCAGGGGAUCAAAGUUUUUGCAAAAUGGAAAUCGGUAGGGGUGUGCUAUGAUUGAACUGAUUAAACUCAGUUUUUGGUUUUAUUUUUAAAGCUUCAGUUCAAUUUCAGUUAGUAAACAUUUGAAGAUCAGUUUUCCAGUUCAGGUAACUCAGUACAAAAAACGGUGUUAAUUGAACUUGACCCAUUUUAUGAUUAUAUAAUCCACUACCAUUUUUUAACCUAGUUAAAAAUACUUGGUAUAACCUUCCUGCCCCCUUGAUCCCUUCUUUCUCUCAUUCCAGACUCCACAGAGACCCACUAUUGAUUAUUCUUUCUUCACACACGAAGAACUAUUCAUUUUGAUUUUCGUGUGUAGAUUUCUUUCUUUCUUCUCGUAUCAUUGCAUUGGAGAAACAUGCAACCCCAUGAUGUUGAUAUCACAUGAUGUUAAUUUCUGCAUCUUAGGUUCUCACCAAAGACAAAGACUGUUAUUGCAUCGCAGAUGUGUUCUUGGUGUUGGUGUUCAUUCUUGAUUUCUUGUUCUUACCAUCUUUUGGCUUUUUGAUUUAUAGUUUGUAUUUGUAGAACUAGUUUCAUGCUACAUAUUGUUUGUGUUGUGUUGCAAAUUUCUGGAGAACAUGUAUUCUCAGCUGUGUAAACCCAUGUUAAAUAAUUGGUGAACUUAGCAUCUCCAUUGGAGAUGAUAUAAGGAGGUAAACCAUGCAGUUUGACAACUUCCUCAAAGAACAAGCCAAUUACAUGUGAAGCAUCAGCGAUCUUAUUACAUGGAAUAAAUGUUGACAUCAGUGAUCUUAUAGAACACCUAUCUGCUGUUGCUAAAAUAGAAUCAAGACAUCAAGCUAUUUAGGUAAGCCAACAACAAACUCCUUGCUCACAUCUUUCCGAGCAUAUGUGGAAUAGGAAGUGCAAUGUUCAAACUAGCGUUAUUCUUUUUAGCCUUAGCUAGCUGAAAACUGCUGGAGGCCAAUAGAACCCAACCUCGAGCAGUUGCAAUGGUCUUCUGAAGACUGCUGUAGAGCAAUGGUCUUAGAGACAUCUCUGUUUAGCUUCAUUGAGUUUUCUAAAGAAUGCUAGACAAUGCCCUUCACGUUCAGUGCCAACACCUGAUGCAUCUCAAUCAACUUAAAGACCUUAUCAAAAUGGUGAUGACUCAAAACAGGGGUUUGACUUAUUUUCAAUUUAAUAUCAUCAAAAGUUUUAGUAGUGGUUAGUGCAAUUAAACUCACCUUUCAUUAGAUUUGGAUUCAUAAUUGAACUAAUCCCCUUGAUAAAUAUUUUAUGAAUAAAAUUAGGUAACCCAUGUAAACUAUGCGACUCAUAAACUGUUUUAGGUGUAGGCUACUUUAAUGACUUACCCUUUUAGGAUCAACUGUUAUGUUUUGCACAGAUACAAUGAGCACUAAGAAAAAUGCUUAAAAUUGCACAAAAGAGCCUUUUUUUUUUUAAAGGAUAAGUACAGCUUGUUCCCAUAAGAGUAACAAAAACUUGAUGAAUUGAUCCAAAUUGCUCUUUUUAGAUCCACUAUAUAUCGAAAAUAUCUUCAAACAAACCACCAAAAACUUGACCAAAAAAUUGCAAGACAUGAUUCAUGACAUCCAUAAAAGUUCCAAGUGCACAAAUGGUAUCAGUAGUCAUUUACACGAUCUAUCUUCAAUUUUAAAAGCAUUUUUUCAUUCAUCACCAGGACUAAUAUGGAUUUGAUAUUGUGCAAUGUUCAUUACACAAGUGAAUUUUAGGGAACCAGCAAGAACCUGAAGACAUAAUAAUUUUCAGAGGGGGAUUAAAAAUUAGUUCUCAGUUUUUAUUGGUUCCGAAAUUAAUUUCCAAUCACAGAAAAAAGUCUCAAAAAAUCUAGAAAUGAUGUGUUUGUAAUGGAGUAUUUUAUGUUGUAACUAUUAGGAUUUGGAACCAUAAAUAAGAAAAUGCAAAACGAACUCUAAUUAGGAUUACAAAUCAAUACAGAAUUCACAAGUAAUUAAAAAAGACUACUUUCUAUAUUUUUUCCCCCUGAAAUAGUUACUUAGGUAGUCCUAACAUAUCUAGAAAAUCCUGCUGCACUAAUGCAGAGUCAAUCUACCAAGCAAUUAAAUUCUCAUUUCUGAUUUUGCACCAGGUCGGUGAUUUGGGCCUGUCCAAGGUGAAAUGUCAAACGCUCAUCUCCGGUGGCGUGAGAGGAACACUUCCUUGGAUGGCACCUGAGCUUCUGAACGGCAGCAGUAGCCUUGUUUCUGAGAAGGUUUCCAUAUGGGUUUUCACCCUUUUUCUUAAGUACUUUCCGAAUGAUGAAUUACCAAAAUGUCUCCUCUCACUUAACUAAUGUAUGGUUUCUUCAUAUCUUGUUUAAUUAGGUUGAUGUGUUCUCAUUUGGUAUUGUGCUUUGGGAACUUCUAACUGGGGAAGAACCAUAUGCAGAUUUGCACUAUGGAGCUAUAAUAGGUACCAUUUUGAUUUUUAACAAUAAUCAUGUCUUUGCUGAAUGGCUCUUGAUAUGUUGUCUAUCAUUGCAUCACCAAAAUGCUGUUCAGGUGGUAUUGUGAGCAAUACAUUGAGGCCACCGGUGCCUGAAUCUUGUGACCCAGAGUGGAAGUCAUUAAUGGAGAGAUGCUGGGCAUCAGAGCCAUCAGAUAGACCAAACUUCACUGAAAUCGCUAAUAUUUUACGUGCAAUGGCAGCAAAAGUCCCUCCCAAGGGAUACAACCCAACGCAGCAACACCCUUCAACAUAAUCUCAGGUUCAAAGUUGAUUCCAGGCAAGUUGUUUCAGUCUAUUUUCUCCAUGUUCUGCUUCUCUGGACUGUAAAAAGACAUGUAAUUUGUUUUCCUAAAGUUAAAAAGAUAAAUAGUACAGUGAGAGCCCUUAUUAUUUAUUUAUUUUUUUUAAAUAUUUUUUCAUAUCUUUAUCCCUAUGUUUAAAAAUAGGAAUCCCAAUACAUAGAAUUUGUGAAGUUGGUAGGUUUUCACAUUUUGUUUUCUUUGUUUCUGUUGGGUUUUCAUUUAGCUUGGAUGAUGAAGAGGGCAUUUUGGGCCAUUUUUUCUCUUUUAUGCUUUGGUCUCGAGUUCUUGAAGAAAUCGAUUCAACUUUUCACAACCAUAUAAAAUAGUUAUUUUUUUUUAUUUAUCUAUUAUUUUUAAUAAAAAACUUGUAUGAAUUUUAUCAUUGUAACAAACACAUUUGAAUUUAAUGUAUUUAAUAUAAUUAAACUAAAAAUAUAUUAUAAGAAUUUUUUUUAGAAAAAUUAUCGAUAAAAAAUUUUCUGAAAAUAUAUUAACGAUUUUAUAUAUUUUUUAAAAUUAUUUAAAAUGAUUUUGUUUCAUUUUAUGAGGAACUUCCAUGGAUGAAUCCUCAAAUUUAACAUACAAGGGAAUACUGUCCAAGAAAAAAAAAAUUGUAUAAAGGAAGUAUUUAUACAGAAAAAAGUAAUGUUUGGUCUUUAUAUCAAUUUUAAAAAAUAUAUUAAAGUAUCUCUUGAGAUUUAAAAAAAAAUUAGUAAUUAAUUUAUGCAUUUCUAAAGAAAAUAUGAUUUGCUCAUUCUCUUUAAAGCUUCCAAAUGGAGCUCCUUAUCAUUGAAAAAAUUUAUUUUUCACUUGUUUAAAAUAAUUAAUUUAAAUUAUUUAAAAUUUUUAUGAGUUAUCAUAUAAAUUUGAUAUAUUCUAAAUCGGUAUUAAAUUAUUAAGAAUUGUGAUUUGAUAAUGUUUUGAGUUGCUCUAUCUCGUUUCACCAAUAUCCUACACACUUUUGUAUUACCUUUCCACUGACGUAUUAAUUUAUGUUAAUGCAGUGAUAUAUAAGCAACGUAUUUUAAGCCCUUUAUAGAGAAUAUAGAAUAUAAUAGAGUAUCCAUCAAUAAUUACAUAUUUGAUUAUUUUAAUAAUUAUAUAUCUGAUUUGACCUAUGAAUGAAUGAAUAUAUAAGCAUACCUUUCAUGCCUGAUUGAGUAAUAGCAAUAAGAUUCUUCAUAAAAAAUUGAGCAAAAAGUAGCAGAAUUGGUCUAUUUUAUACGUAUAUCAAUUGAACUAUAAGGCCAAGCUGACAUAAGUAUUGCGAUGCGAAGAGUUUUGCUUGAAAAAAUAGAAGAAAUAUGUUCACACAUGUAAAAUCUGAUAAAAUACCACACGAAUUUUCUAUUAUGAAAGUUUGAAUUCAAUUCCUAAUGAAUUUUCUAUUAUGAAAAUUUGAAUUCAAUUCCUACGGUGAUUAAUAUAAACGCAAUAAAAAUUUUUAGAGAGUUUUAUAUUUGUGUAUUGAUAAGGGCAACCAAUUCUAAAAAAAUAUAAAUUUAUAUCAAAUUAAAACUAAUAACUAAUUUCAAGUAAUUUUUGAUGAAAAUAUCACUAAAGUCAAGAAAACAUAAAUUUGAAAACAUAUUCGAUUUGACCUAUGAAUAAAUAUGUAAGCAUAUGUUUCAUGCUUCUUUUAAGUAAUAGUAAUAAGAUUUCCCAUGAGAAAUUCCUACAGUGAUGAGUAAAAAAUCUGAACAAAAUUUAAAAAAGGAGUUAUGAGAUGGAAAAGCACAAAUCAGUAGGGCUGAGCAGAAUCCGGUUCAAACCGAAAAAACCGAUCGAACCGAACCGAUUUGAAAAUUUGGUUCGGUUUUUUAUAUAUUUCGGUUCGGUUCGAUUUUAAAUUUCAGAAAUUUUGGUUAUUUCUGUUCGGUUCGGUUUUGAUCAGAAAAAAACCGAAAAAACCGAACCGAACCGAUUAGGAAUAAUAAUAUGUUUUUUCAAUAAUAUAGAGAAAUUAAAUUAUAUUAAAAUUAAAAUAUUUUAAUUAAAUUUUAAAAUACUAAAAAUAAAGUUUAAAAAAUUAAAAAAAUAUUAAAAAUCGAAACCGAUCAAACCGAACCGAAUCGAACCGAAUCAGACCGGUUCGGUUCGAUUCGGUUUCUGAUCAAAAUCGGUUCGGUUCGGUUUUUAUAAAAACUAAAAUUUCGGUUUUCGGUUUAUUCGGUUCGGUUCGGUUUUGAACCGAACCGACCGAAUGCUCACCCCUACAAAUAAGGAGAGAAGCAUGGAAGAGAGACGGAUAGCGAGAGUCGCAUUACCUCUCUUCUCUUCGUUCUCUUAUCAUGUCUCUCUUUUUCAAAUCUCCUAAUUUCACAUAUAAAAAAUUAGGUUAAGACUGAGAGAGACAUGAGAAAGAGAGUUUAUUUCUUUUUUAAUUGUUUCUGUUAUCAUUCAUGAAUUUUAUUUAUUUUUUUUAUAAUUUAAAAUAUAUAUUUUAAAUUUUUUGUAAAGGUAAUGUUACAUGUCAUGUUAUAAUAUGAUGACCGUUAGAUUUUUCCAUCCCGUUAUGAGGCCGGGCCGAUAGUGGCAGCCCACAAUCGAAGGCUCCUAAACCCCCCCGAAUAAGCCAGGUCUGGCUUUGAACAAGAAACUCAAACUCUGCCGAGCACAAAUUUUGAUUAAGGACUUCGGCAGAGUUCGUAGAUCGGAGCACCGAGAGGUCGGUGGGUUGGGAUAGCAACGUUGGAAAAAGCCCGAGCUGCCAAAGAUAUGUCGACCUAGUGAAGAAGUUGCUAAUAAAGAGGAUUGCUAGCCUGGCCGAACUCCAACAAGCGAGGUCGACACGACGCCACCUGUCAAUGCAGAUAGAUGGACAUGAAAGGCAUGCUUCGCAUGUAAAUAGUAAGACUAAAUUUAAUUAAAAUAUACCUCUAUGAGUUUAGAUAUCCUGAUAAUAGCUUAUAUUUUAUAGAUUGAAAAAUUCACGCAUGCAAAUAUUGUUUAUUGAACUUUUGAAUGGCAUGAGUUAAUAUUGUUAGUUAGAGCAAAUAGUUACGUUCAUCUGAAAUAUGAAACUAAGUGACACGUGCGACAUAUUAUUGAUGAAUGUUAUUGAAUUAACAACGAGCAUCCUCGUUAUAUACGCUCUGUGCAAGCUUUCAUUUUGCAAAAAAAUCCUGAAUCUCACUCAAAGACCUCAGGCAAACACAAGACUGGGAUUCCAAAGAUCUCCCGGAGCAAAAACGGCAGGCGAAGAUCUCAAAGAUCUCCCGGAGCAAAAACAGUCGGCGAAGAUCUCAAAGAUCUCCCGGAGCAAAAAAACGGCCGACGAAAAUCUCAAAGAUCUCCCGGAGCAAAAACGGCCGGCGAAGAUCUCAAAGAUCUCCCGGAGCAAAAAACGGCCGGCGGGAUCCCCAAGAUCUCCCGGAGCAACAGAGACCGGGAUCACCAAAGAUCUUCCGGUGUCACAUGCUCACAGCAAACAGCGGUAUAUAAUGACAACACGCAAAAACAACUCAUAAGAACAUAGUUCCGACCUCACAUAAAAUAUUGGGGCACGGGACCAUAAAUGAAAAGCUAAACUCCGAUCUCCCAAAGGAGCUCGAGUCAUAAGGUAAAGAGACUUUGAUCUCGCACAACAGCCAAAAGCGCCAAAGUGCCAUGCUGACCUCAAGAGGGUGCUGGAAUAGAAAUAAAAGAAUUUGAAUCCGACCUCUCAAAAGAGCUCGGAUCAUAGGCUAAUAAGACCUCGAUAUAGAAAUAAAAGAAUUUGAAUCCGACCUCUCAAAAGAGCUCGGAUUACAGGCUAAUAGGACCUCGAUCUCGCAAAGUAACCAGCAUAUAACGAAAUUAAACUAAGUCGCCCCAGCGCCUGUAUCGUGUAACAAUGUGACUUGCUAAAGGCCGAUGCAACGCUCACGGCGCCAAAACGCCAAAGCACCAUGCCGAUCUCAAGAAAAUGAGCUCGGUACUGGUAAACCCAAUAGGCAGACCGAAUUAAGGCGAGGCAAAUCCUAAGCAAAAUGCAUACCAAAAUACAGAGCCAAACAAAGAAUCAGGGGUAAUCAUAAGAGACACCGACCUUGAGAAUUGACCGCUAGCACUAAACCAGCUCAACUAGCCUAGAGAGAGGUCUAAACAGCAAAGAGCCCGCAAAACGCUCGAGGGUAGACAGCCCAGAAAACACUCGGGGGCAAAAAACCCAACUAACCAAUACAUACACGAGAGCCAAAUGCUCAGAUAAAGAAUCAAGGAGGCAGGAGCUAUGUAAAAAGCCAAAUAAACAAUUCUAGAAGACCGAAUGGGGCAGUAGAAAGCCCUGACUCAUUAGGAUACAAAAGAAUCAAACCGCAGUAUGGUCAAGUCCAAAAUAGAUAGUCCGACCUCUUCAAUCCAGGGCCGAUCUCUCCAGAAGCUUGGAGGGGCCUCAUAUCUGGACCGACGAGGCUACAAGUUUAUAAAAGAAAAAGUUGAAACCAAACAAACAAGCAGUCAGACUGAGACAUAGCCCAUAUAAGGCUCAACAAGAAAUUAAGUCCGACUUCACAAAAUAGCUCGGGGCACCAAAGUGAAGAAAGUGAAAUUUCGAACUCCUGAGCUCGUGAUACAAGCAGCGUCACAGGCUAUAGGCGUAAAAGCCUAAGCAAAAAGCAAAUAACCGAGCUCCCAACUCGGAUGAACUCGCAACACUGACGAGAUAGUAAGUCAAAAACAGAAAUGCCCUCAUGAGAAUAAGAAAGACUCGCAAGUCAGAAGCUUAACCAGACUCCGAGCUCUUAGCCCGGAUCAGUUUGGCUAGCAAAGUCUCAGUAGAGCCGGCCUGGUCCAUCAAUUAAGUAGAAAUUUACAAGCCAGAAGCCAAGUCUUUGGCUAAGCUUUCAGCCCUGAUUAGCUUAAAAGCAAGCGGUAAGGGACUGUGUACUCAAUUCCUCAUAAGUUAGGGGGAAUAGCGUGAGUAUUUCAUUCUGAAAAAAUUUGCACAAGUUGUGCUUGAAAUAGUCUAGAUAGCUCGGUAGAGUAUGAAAAAACAGACAAAGGCAAAAACAAUAUAAGCAUAAGCACAAGACAGGAAAUAACUCAGGUAUGAACAUGAAAAAGAGACAGAAAUAAAUUUUCAUUAAAAGAGAAGUAUUACAGCCUAUUCACAUCAUCUACGCAGAAUAGGGGGAAGACCGUCCUUAAAGGACUUACAUGCCUAGGGGCGCUAUCAUCUACAUAAUCUGCAUUCAUAAUAUUUACAUUGCUGAUGGUGAAAGGCUCAGCGCCCUCUUACUCAGACCUCCCAGUACCCUCAAAAGAGGAUUCAAGCCGGAUAAAAGAGAACCUUCAACGACAACAGAUGGGAUAUAACACUUGGCAAAUUCAGUAACAUUGUCACCCCUUCUGCUUAUUUAAAGCAGCACAAUAAAGUCAGUAAAGCGUUCUGAAGGGAAAUGGAACAAGUAAAUGUUGCAAACCUACACGCAUACUAUGUUAGACUAAUCUUAGCAAAUUACCCUUGCUUCCUGGUUUAAACAUAGCCGUCAACGCAUUGUCCCUACUUGCAUAUUUGUAAGCUAAACUUUGAAUAUCACGGAACACAUAUCGGAAAGCGUCAACAGAAGCUUGACUGAGUGCAGCAAAUCUCUGUUUCUUAUAGCACAAGCGCUCUACAUCAACAUGAACAGCAGACUGAUCAUCUUCGCCAUUCCCAGCAAGGAAAUCAUGACACGAAUCUACCAUGAACUGCUUUAUGAUACAUGUGUGAGCCGCAUCUUGUAUUCCAUAAUAAACUUCAGAAAUCAUGUUAUUUCCUGAAUUUAAGUCAGGAGCAGACAUCAGAGGUAUCACGGAAGUGUCCUUUUUCUUCUCAAGAGGAGGGAGGACAGGAGCCGGUCUCCUAGAAGCCCGGAACUUCUUUGGAAUGGGAACCGGGGCAGGCGCUUCGGCAGGGGUAGGAUGCUUGCCCUCGACCUCCUCCGCUACACCCCCGCUAUCUGCAUAACCGGACUCCCUCUCCUCUGUGACCUGAACACCCUCGAUUGGGGCCCCCUGAACAUUCCCCGCAGGGGGGAUCUUAGUUUCACUUGCAGGGACCUUCACCUCAGCUGUGGAGGUCUCGAGUCCCUCUCCAAAAGCAUCGCCAGAGGGCAAGGCAGGCUUCGUCGCCGUCAACCCGGAUUCCUCGCCCGGUCUCGAAGUCCGUGGAGACCUAGGGGCUUAAACAGCUUGAGUGGCCGAGCCCGGCUCGCUGCAGCUUGACGACCUAGAAGAUUUAGCACCUCGAGGGCCCGGCUUUGGAGCUCGGGCAGGAGCCGGGGAAGGAGGCCGGCAAGACGACCUGGACGGUCCUACUUCGGCCACCUGUUGGGGAGUUUCCUCCAUCGAUCGCCCCGCUAGGAAGGCGCCCGAGGCAGUAUUCAUGUCUUACCAGGACAGCGCAAAAUUCUUAGGGGGCUUAAUCUGAUCCAUUUUCAUUUCAGAAGCUGCAAAAAACCCAAAAACUGGACAAGUCAGAAGACUUCUCAGCGAAAAUCACAAAAGCAAGAUUAAAACAGGCCUCCAUGAGGGGCAAGGUAAUAAAAUCUUCGGCUCGCCUGAACCUUCCUGAAGAAGGCGAUGGACAGACUCAACGUGGGUGUGAACCCCCAGCUCAGACAGACAGAUUCGAAUGAAAACUAGGAAAAAAUGGAAUUAAGGACAAGCCAUAUUCCCUCUGCUUAAUGAAGAAAAUCAAACUCACAUCUGUUUGAGGGUUGACUAAAUGAUGCUAAACUCUAGGUUAACGACAUUUGAGAGAUUAGAGCUAUCCCUGGUAAAAGAAGAAACGUACCAUAAAAAUAAAGACAGGGGAACGAAGAUAGCAGCGUGCACGAAUGACAGAGGAAAACUGGAACUGGAAGAAGACGGAGAAAAUCUGGAAAUCGAAAAGAUGAUAAGGUGAAAGGGUGUUCUGAAGCAAACUGUAUUUAGAUGACGCGGUCAUAAUAAUUCUCGGUAUUUAUCCCCUCAUCAGUCAGGCAAUAACUGAUGAGAAGGUAAAGGGGCAUUUGAUGACAGCUGGAUUUCUCCAUCCCGUUACGAGGCCGGGUCGAUAGUGGCAGCCCACAAUCGGGAGGCUCCUAAGCCCCCUGAAUAAGGCAGGCCCAACCCGUUCAUCCUCCAGACCGGACUCCUAUUUAAGUAACUUAAUCAGGCCGGCCCGGCCCAUUUCAGCCUUAAAGCAACGGAUUCAGUCAUUUCGCAGUCCUGUCCACUCGCGCGCCGAAAGGAAUUAAAUGGUUGCCUGACACAGAAAUGGCCCAGGGGUUAUCCGUACGUACAGACCUGCACCAUAGGGUAGGUGGCCCUAUAGCGGAGAAGUCAUCUCGCGUGAGGGGGAAAGGAGAAUAAGAGGAAGGAAACAUUCUCUUUGAGGGGGCUUUUUCUACAUUCACAAAACCCUGAUAAAAGAUAUUUUUUCAAGAUCUCAAAGAUCAUCAUAAUAUAUUAUCUACAAAACUAAUCUGACAUAAGUUUCACGUCAAUAUAUUACAUUAGACUUACAUCAUCAAAUAAAAUUAAAAUCAAUAUAUCACCCAAUAUCAUUAAUACUUUUUACUUUUAGAAUGCUAAUGAUAUAAAAAUAUAUCAUUAUUUAUAAUAAAAUAAUUAAAGGGACAGAUAGUGUAGAAUAUUAAAGUAGAUAUUGCCCUAAUUAAUAUUUAAUUUAGAGGGCAAUUCAUUUCUAUACUUAAUUUAUGAUGGAUCUAAAUUAAUUUCAAACAUUUUUUAAGAGAAAAGAAAGAGAAAGGUGAUUGAAAAGUCGUCGGAUUAAAGGCUUUUUUACUUCUUUCUAAGUUUGUUGUGUUUUUUUAGUGGUUUUUCGAGUGUUAUAGUUCUUCUUCCCUUGCCUUUGGGCAAGACAAAAAUUAAUGUUUUAGUUUCUUUUUGAGCCGCCGCCUUCUGAUUUCUCUAAUUGGUUUUGUUUAUUUGCAGUUUUAUUUUAUUUUUCUCUUUUCUUGUUUUUAUAAGUUCUGUUUUAUAUUUGUGAGCAUUUAUUAUUGAACCUGGUUUGCUAUAAUGAGAAAAGACCAUUUAGCUUUUGAGGAGGGUUUGAAUUUUUAUUGAAUCUAGUUUGCUAUAAUAAGAAAAGACCAUUUAGCUUUUGAGGAGAGUUUGAAUUUCGGUGAUACUUAUAUUUUGGGACUACGCCACUAUAUCCGACGCCUUCACUCUCAUACACUAUAUUUAGUUAAACUCAGAAACAUUCUCUCUUCAUUUUAUUUAGACGAUUACAUUUUUUUCUAUUUUAAAGGCCUUUUUCAACUUUAUUUUCCUCGUACAUAUUGUUAUUGGUGUAGUUGUAGUUAAUGUUUAUUUUAUCUUUUGAUUUUUUUAUAUUAGAAUUGUUAUCUUUUUUGUUUAUGUGUUUUUAUUGUCUUCGAUAUUCUAUACUUUAUUCUUUUGAUGACUAAAAAUUUAUCGGUUCAAAUUCAAGUAAUAUGGUUUGAGUUGAGUUUGAUUUAAUUGGUUUAUUUGCUUUGAUUUAAUUUGUUUUGUUUAAAUUUAUUUUGGAUGUAAUUUUGGGCUGAAAUCUUUAUUUUUUUAAAAUUUUGAUAAAAUCUUAUUUGCAGAAAUCUUUCAAUAUUUUCUAUAUCUAAAUUAAAUAGCAUUUAUUAGUAUUUUUUUUUGCAAAAAAAACAAAUAGAUUACUAUUUUUAGUUUUUAUGUAAUCUUACGCAAUCUCUAUCAGAGGAGUUAUCGUCCGCUCAUCGAGAGGAUUUGUCUGAACCUGGAACGUUGUAAUAGAAUUACAGUCAUCAAUGAGAUCAAUCUCAAUGAUUUCAUAGAGCAAAAAAGGUAAAGUUUAGAAAUAAUAUAUAAUUUAGGUAUUUAUAUAUAAUAAUAAUAAUAAUUUAAAUAAUAAUUACGUUUUUCAUAUAAUAGAGUUGAGAUUUGUAUAAGAAUUUAGAAAAUUUUAAUUAUUGCUUAUGAUAAAUAAAUAAUAAUAAUAAUUAUUAUUAUUAAUUACGAAAGCUUCUUCGAAGCAAAAUUAAUACACGAGUCUCUAAUUCUAACACGUUUAAGGAACACCCAGGCGCGUAUAUAUCUAAAACUUGUGCCGGCCUGACUAGUCAAAGACCGGCCGCUCCCACUCGACGACCUUGCGGGUCAUAUAUCCUUUUAAGACAAUCCAACCAUACAUUUCCACGUAAUCAUAUAAAAUUGAACAUUCCAAUUGCUACUCCAUUUCCAUUAGCCCGUCAUUUUAUCAAAGUCACAGUCACACGCAAACUGUUCCCCCAAAUAAAAUCUCCGUUUCUUUGGUCCUAUUUCUCUCCUAUUUCUCUCCAACUUCCUCUUUUCUUUGCUUCUCCAUAUUUAUAUCCUCUCUUGUUUCCUCCAUUCUCAGUCCAAUUUUGCAUACUUUCAUCUCUCUCUCUCUCUAAUGGCGACGCCCUACUCACCAAUAAUGGAGCAUGAUUAUGAAGAAGAGAGGUCUACACCAAGUGGGUGCAAUUGCUUUCAGCUCUUCUCCUUCAAAUGGCAUCAGAACGACAAUGAAUAUGAAGAUAGAUAUCUUCUGAACCAGCAGAGGGGAGAAAAUCAAAAUGGAGAAUCAUGGGUGGCGAAUCAACUGAAGAAGAUGAAGGAGGCUUCAGAGGUUGUGGCAGGACCAAAGUGGAAGACUUUCAUUAGGAAGGUCAGUGGAUAUAUGAAGAACAUGAAGAAACAAAAAAAUAAUCAGUUCCAAUAUGACCCAGAAAGCUAUGCUCUUAAUUUUGAUGGUGGUAAUGGUAGAGAAGAUGAUGAUUUGCUUCUUCCUGUUUUCUCUUCAAGGCUUGCUUCUGCAGAGCAAAAACGACAGGAUGGGUUGUGAUUUUAGUGUUGUUCUGCAUUCAUCCAUGGUUGUUUCAUUGAUUUCUUGUGUGUAAAGCGAUUUGAUUAUUAUAUUGGCAAUUUUUUUAAAAAAAGUUUCAGAGAACCCCAGUUUUCAAUUCAUCAGGAGUUGGGUUUGUUCAAUCUUUCACUUUUUUUACAUUCAGAAGAAUCUCGGCUGGCGGUAGUCACUAUCAAACUGUGCUUCAAAGAUUGCAUAAGAAACUUUGAAAAUUCAAACCAAAAUAAAAGAUAAACUCUUCAACACUAAGCAUUGGCUUCAAGAAAUACUCUGAAAUUGGAAAUUUUCUAACAAUGUUCAAAACAAGUAAUCUUCCACAAGUUUCAGGAAGCAGCAAUAAAUAUCCUGAGGAAUGCUUAUUUAAUAGGGAAACGUAUUUAGAAAAGUUAUUAAAGAAUUAUUGUACAAGAAUAUGAAUCCAAACACAUUAAGAUAAAACAGAUUUCAGAUCAAGUCACAAUUCAUCAAGAUUUCAUAAUAAUUCAAUUCAAUUAAUUUCUUUUUAAUAAUUUUCUUUGAAUUGAAAUCUUAUAUGAUUUCGUAAUAAUUUAUUUAAAUUCUUUUCUUACAAAACGCAUCAUACCAAACAUAAGGUAUUGAAUUUAGGGGAAGAAUUCAUUUCUUUUUGGUAGGGUAAUCAUGGGUUGAUUGUUCCUCCCAAAUCCAAUGAAGUUUCUUCCAUAUCAUCAAAGGAUCAAAUGGCUAGAACAGAUAAAGGCUAGCUUUCUUCCUACUCUUACAAGUUGUGAGCAGACAACUUCAAAUUAUAAAACAGAUGUUCUCAUCACAGAUAUAUAUAGGAGCACAAACCAAAUACUACAAAGUUACAGGCCUGUGGCACAAAAAUAAGCUAUUUAAACAAUCUCAUGUGCUUGUUGUUUAAAAAAACAAGGAUAUAUGUAUAUAUAUGCAUCAGCAUGUCUUCAACUAUAUACUUGUCAACUGGACUUAACAGGUGAGCUGCUGAGUUUAAUCCAUCUCUCAGAAUAGCAGCCUACUUUACCGUGAUUUAAUGUUCCUGUAUAGCCAAGUGGGGGAAAUCGAAAUAGAAAUUUUAAGCUACGCGUAUACGUUGAUUCUUUCUCGUUGCAGUGGAUCUGAUGUGAUGAACUUCUCCAGUCAAGGAUAGCAAAUGUAAAGUCCUCCACCAAGUUUUCCCAUUUAUCCGCCACUUAUUUCACCUGCAUUGCUUGUUUUCCCCGAUAAAAUUGGCAAAAGGUUCGAACAAAUUUCAAAUAGAAGAGAAAGAGAAAUAUACUGCAACAGUCUGCUUACUUCUUGCGCUUGCUCUUCGUAGUAGAUCCUGAAGGAUUGCUAUGCCAGUUCCUUUUUCUUUGGUUUAUGAACCAGUUGUUUAUCUGCUUUAACUGCAAUCCUGUUUCCUGAACCAGCCUUGCUUUGUCUUCCUCCUAAAACAAAUCAAAGCAGACAACAGUUUGAGGAACUACCGAAGAAAACACGGACAAAAGAACAUAUAGGACAUUACAUUAUACGUACAGUUGGAUAUGGCCACUUAGAGUGCGAUUGCCACCAAGCUUUUAAGAGGGAGGUGGUAUCUCCCGGCAAUUUUCCUGCCCUUCUUUUACGUAGAAUCUCCUCUCUAAUAUCCACAAUCUUCUCUUUGUAACCCUGAAAAGUAAAAGGCGGCUGAGACGCGCUAUUUUUGCACGCCAUAUCAUACCAAAGAAUAUUAUGUAAUUUUUUACCUGUUUCAGUUCAUGCUUUAAUUCUUUCCUUACAUGCUCCAUCAAUGAUCUCUCAGUUUCAGUGGGGACAAGAGGACCAAAUCCCAUGUAAUCUGCCCCAUCCAGACCUCCAUCAUAUAAGUUGGUGUCACUAUCUGCCUGGUCAUCAUCAUCAUCAGACAUUGUUGCACCUGUGCCUUCACCCAGGGAUGCACCUGCCAUAUAUCGUGAUUAAGUUCUGAGCUCAGAAUUCCGAUCAGAGUCCUCAAGUAAAUGCAAAAACAUAGCAAAGAUGAAAAAGCGAGAAAGAGAUAGGAUCUUUAACCACUUCUUUGACUCACAGAAGCCGAUAUAUGGAGUCCGCAGCUCAAGCCAACUUUCUAUGGCAUGUAUUUUAAGGCUUUGCAACAAAAGACAGUUUUACCUAUUAUUGAUAAUGACAAUGAAGCAAAAGAAAGCCAUUGGAGAAUAUAUAUCAUGAUACUUGCACAAAAGCAUAUCUCAAACACCUUCACAAUCCCAAUCCCAACACCAUAACCCCAUAUACAAGACAGCCAAGCACUUGCUAACAUCCUUAAAUUUUACGCUACAUUUGAGACUUAAACUGGAACUUCUUUAUAAUCCAUGAUUUGAAUACACCAACCUAGUCUCCAACUCUUCAUCGGUACCAAAACCAGACUAUCAAUAUUGAUAAUAAACUUAGUAUAUUUGAAUAUAAUAUGAAAUCAGAUGUUAUAAAUUUUUGGAUUCAAAAGCAAGUAUCUAAGACUCGGGGAAAACAACAGUGAUAUACAGAGGCAAGGAGUGUAUGGAAUCUGAGUGUUUGUAAAAACUAGCAAUGUUAAGAGCGAAAGAGCAAAAGGAGCAACCAAAAAGAAGCAGCAUGAUUCCUGAAGAAUUACAUCGAGAGAGAUAAACUAACAAAGUUCUUUCCUUUUCCAACAUCCAGCCCAACAAACCCAAUGUGAACUUACUUUCGUUCAUAGAGAAGAGGGAUGAGGGAAAAAUUACCUGUUAAGCUUUGCAAAGAUUGCUCAAGCUCCCAGCAAGCCAUUACAGCCUCCAUAGCAUGAACUCGAACGUGUUGUUGCAAUUGGUCUUUAAAGGAACAGAGUAAUAGAACAUAUUGUGUCUACAUCAGAAGCGGGGAAAAGUGGAAGAGUAAGGAGAUUUAGUUGAAACUAACAAAAUUGAUAACAUAUGAGCAUUUGAAUUAGAAGAAAGGGUAAAAGAAUGUAAUUGUAUAUGCAUGCAUCAUGAAAAAUUUACCUUUUAUAGAACUUGUAAAAUCAUUGAGUUUGAGAUGAAUCUAAACAAUGAGCCAACCAUGUUACUAUCGCAGGAACUCGCCAUAACUACUCGCUCAAUUUACAAAAACAAAGGAAAAAGGGAGGACAGAUAGGCUGUGGAAGUGAUAUCAGUCAAUAUUCACCAUCAUCACCAUAAAACCUCAUAUAUAGUAAACAAGAGAGGAAGUCAUCUUCCACCUUGAUAUCCUUAUUAAGAUCUCUAUAUAUAAAUUUGUUAAUAAAUUUUAUUUUUUAAAUUAAAAUUAAAUAAUGAAAAAUAAGUUAUCUCGUUGGAAAAUAUUUUUCAUGGGAAACAUUUUCCACGAGAAAUAUUUUCCAAAUACAGGUUAUUUUUCACAAAACAAACGAAGUCUUAGUUUUAAAUUUAUAUUAAUAGAUUAAGUAACAAUCUUCCAAAUAAAAUUUAGUUUAAAUAAGUAGAAAAUUUUAGUUUCAAUGAAAAGGUUCUCUCUCUCCAUCUCUCCUCUCCUUCAUUCUUUCUUCCCGAAAAGAAAAAAAUUGGAUAGCGUAGUUGCAUUCCUUGCUCUACAGUGGCUAAACCAGCCCUACAGUAAAAUGAAUAUUGUGCAACUGACCAUUAAUCAAGAAGAUAAAGAUGCUUCAUCUUUAUCAAUCCACUUUGAUAUGCAGUGAAAGGCCACUUUCAAUGGUGACCCAUGAAAACAACUCUGUACCAUCAGUUCCUUUAAACUUAUGAGCUAUGAAUUCAUGAUGCUCACAUUUGUUGGUAAGUCAAAUUCUUAUACUUUAGGAACACUUCUUUCAAAGAAACAUCAGGGCAAAGCUUCAUUAAAUAUGGCAGUUUCUGAGACAGAUUAUAUUCUCAAAUUAAUUGAGAGAAAU
Molecule: long non-coding RNA, 46012 nt
Filed under: Manihot esculenta (cassava)
Lineage: Eukaryota; Viridiplantae; Streptophyta; Magnoliopsida; Malpighiales; Euphorbiaceae
Description: long non-coding RNA (MESC_LNC008498)
Source: RNAcentral